This 56995-nucleotide long non-coding RNA is filed under the name Lathyrus oleraceus (garden pea). Its description in RNAcentral is "Pisum sativum (pea) long non-coding RNA (PSAT_LNC020605)". Lineage: Eukaryota; Viridiplantae; Streptophyta; Magnoliopsida; Fabales; Fabaceae. The record is from RNAcentral.
AGAAAUCUUCCACAGUGCGAUAAGCUAGUGGAACGAACAUCGGAGCGUUGGGAUUCAACGAGGAGGAGGUGGUUCUUGUUGAAGAGAGUACUUCCAUUGAUGUGGUGGAAAACAAGAUAAGGAUAACGUAGUGAUGGAGAGAGAGAGUGAAAAGAGUAAAGUGUGUAACCAGUGUUGCUGAAAGGUUGGAUUGUUGAUGCUUAUCUUCGAACCUAUGGGCACUAUUUAUAGGCGUAUUUGAGAUACUUGUAUUCUAGAUAUUAUUACUAGUAGUUGAAAGACGAAAAUACCCUUCUAUCCGUUGGUUUAUUUUAGUAUUAUAUAAAUUUUAUGAUAAUUUAUUAUUUUUAAUUAAUUUUAUUUGUUUUAUUACUUUUUUUAAAAAAUAUUUUUUUUUUGUUUUACGUUUGAAAUUAAUUAAAAAGAAUAUCUUAUUAAAAGAAAAUUUUAAAAUAGACGGAUUAUUUUUAUGUUUUCUACAAUUAAAUAUAUAGAUUUAGAAUUAAAUUUUAAAAAUGAUUGAAUUGGUAAAAGAUUAUUUGUUCGAGAACAUUAGUUAUUUAAGACUAAGGGUAAUGCUAACUUGUGCCUCAAGGCACAAGUUAAGAGAUGAAUAUAGAAACAAAUUCUUGAAAAAUGUGUAUUGAAUUUAUUAGAAAUUUAUCAUUAAUAAUUUUAUUUAUUUUUCCAAAACAAAUUUUUUAUUUGUGGAUUUCUUAACAUGUGUCAUUGGGGCAUAAGUUAGCAUUACCCUUAAAAUUACUUAAAAUUACUUAUCGUAUAGAAUCUCAACACUCUCGUACACUUAAUUUUAAUUAAAUUUGAAACAUAACAUUUAAUUCAUUAAUGUUAUGGUAUGUUAUAUAUAUAUAUAUAUAUAUAUAUAUAUAUAUAUNUAUAUAUAUAUAAAAGUUGUUAGUUAUUUUCUUAUUAUUAAUUAAUUGGAUAUUGUUAUCGAAAUUCUUAUCAAACUAAUCCAUUUUUCAUAUUAAUUUUCAAACUACCUCACUUUUAAGAGGUGUCGCUAAAUGAAUUGACGUUUGCUCUCUAAAUUAAAGAGGUGGUGUCAAUUGGAUUGACUUAUGCAUAUGGUGUUGUCAAUCUAAUUGGCGUCCAUGUGUAAAAAAGGAGAGGAGGUGUCAAUUGGUUCGGCGGCGCCUCUGUGUAUUGCGUAAUUUUUUUUGUAUAAAUAGAGGUGUUGUGUGAUUCAUUUUUUCCAUAUUUCUUUUUAUUAUAUUACAAACAUGGUUCGUCUUCGUCGCUGCUAUAGAAAAGUGGUUUAUUCGAGAGACAAGUCUCCGAUGAAGAUGCUCUUUUGGAACAUCUGUCGUUUCGAGCAACUACAGAGCGAGUUGGUUCUUGGUUAGACGAAAACAUACCUGAAGGCGAAAAAAUAGAAGUAUUGAGAGACUCGAUGCCUUACAUGGACGAGUGUGAGUAAAAAAUGAUAAAGAUGCUAGAGAAGUGAUGUUUGGACCAAAUGAUAUCAGUUUGAUUGUUGUAAUAUGUUAGAAAUGUUGUUUUUAAAUGUUAUGGUUGUUGCGCCAAAAGUCAACUAUUAACCAAAAGUCAAUUGUUGAUCAAAAGUCAAUUGUUGUAUAAAUGGUCAAUUGUGUAGCCUUUGUACAUGUAUGGACUUUGGAUCUGAUUGUAUGAAAUGAUAUUUGAUAUUUGAAUGCAUUGACUGUUUGAAAUGAAUUAUAUGGAUAUGUAAGAUAUUGAAAUGAAUGAACAUGAUAACAUGAAUCAAUGGACAAAAGUUUUGAAUGAAUCAAGACCUAAGGACCAAAAUGGAUAAUGAUUAGGACCUAUCCAACGAUUCAUGGACCAAACACCAAUGAAAAUGGCAUGGAAUAUACUAAGUGAUGAACUUGAUGAAUACCUAAUCAUGGAUCAAUGAUCAUGAUCACAACUUGGAUGAACAAUGCCAAGCAUGAAACAAACUCUAGCAAGGCCCAUAAUGUACAAUGAACUAGAUCAUAAUCAAAGAUUCAUGGACCAAACAACAAUGGCAAUGCAAAUGGCAUGAAUGAUAUUGGCCAUAUGAAAUAGGUUAGGCAUGGACUAGGCAUGAGGAUAUGAUCAGAUGCAAUACUAGGGAUGAACUGAAUCACAUGGAAGUUAUGAUGCCAUGAAAAUGGGCUUGAAUUAAUGAACAUAGACAAGCAAAGAUGAACAUGUAAAGCCAUUAAGUGAAUGCUAAACAGACCAAAGAAACCUCCAUAAUAGACCAUGAACAAGUGGGUCUUGAAUGGAUCUUAACCAGAUAAGUGAAGCAUACACAAUGGAUGAUGCAACAACCAUAUGGCUACCAAACACCACAACAAUUAUUUCAACCUUUCCUUGACGCAUCAUUCACACCAAUGUCUCCCUUCAAUCAUCCUGGUCGCCCUUCAAUAAGUCAAACACGUCCCACUACUCUGGCAUGGGUCACGAACUCAGCUAUGACGGUAGCGCUUUACUGCAGGUGGUGGUGAUGUUCCUGGGCCCUCAAAUCCUCAAACAUAUUGGGUGAAUCAUCAACGUGGGUUACGGUCACGCGUUCGGGUAGCUAGGGGAUGUGGUACAAGAGGUCGGUUAGGUCAUCCCGAUCAAUGACAUUAGUCUUUAUGGUAUUCGUAUGUAAACACAUAUUAAUAUUAAUAUCAAUUGGUCUGAUUUCAACUUUUAUAUAAAUUGUAUAUUGUUUAUUAAAAAAAUUACACAACACACAUAGGUGUCACACCAAUUGGUGCCUCCUUUAAAACCUAACAAAAAGGCGCCAAUUGGAUUGGCAGCACCAUGUGCAUAAGCCAAUCCAAUUGGCGCCACCUCUUUAAUUUGGAGUGCAGACGUCAAUUCAUUUGGUGUCACCUCUUAAAAGUGGGGUAGUUUGGGAAUUAAUCUGAAAAGUGAGUUAUUUUGGGAAUUUUUUUGAAAAAAUGGGUUAGUUGAGUAAAAUUUAAUUGCUAUCACUCGAAGAAAAAUGUAGUUUUAGAACAACUGUCUUUUUAUGGAGAAAAUGAAGCAAAUGUUACUCCUCCGUCCCACAAUAUCUAUUUGCAAUAAAAGAGUAUAUCAAAAUGAAUGAUUUAUUUCAAAUUUUAGUUUUUUUUAAUUUGAUCUUCUAAUUAAUAUUUUAUUACUUUUAUCAUUUCUAAUAUAUGAUAAGGGUAUUUUAGUAAAAAUAUAAUUUUCUCUUUCUUUUUUUAAAAUCUAUGUAGUAUGGAGGAAAUAAUAAAUUAAGUUAAGGAUAAAGAUGAUUUGUGUCUUAAAAGCAUAAAUUAAGAAAUAAAUAAAAAAUAUUAUAUUAGAAAUUAUGCGUUGAUUUUAAUAAAAAUAUAAAAUUAAUAUUUUUAAUUAUUUGUUUAAUAUAAAUUUUUUAUAAGUAGGUUUUUUAACUUGUCCAUCUUAAUACACAAGUUAACAUUACUCUUAAAUUAAAUAUAAAUACUUGAAUUUUAUUGAACAAUUUUUUGUUUUAAAAAGACUGUAUACAUUAUUUUAAAAGUUUUAAAUUCUUUUAAGACACUUCUUAACAUGUAUUUUAUUAUUUCAAUAUUUUGCUAACCAAUGUUUAAAUUGUUAAAAAAAUGUAUAAAAAAAAUUAAAUAUAUGUCAAAUAUGAGUAUUUAUCAAUAUGAUAAAUAUAACAUUUUUUGAUACAUGGUAUUUUUUUUUGGCAUUGUCUUAUUUGUUGUUAGUCAAUCAAUAUUAAAUAAUUUAAAAUUUGAUUAAUAUAAUUUAGUAAGAAAACAUGUGUUCUAACAUAUUUGGUAUCUUAAGUACGAUCCUUGAUUGUAUAGAACACACAUAUUCAUAAUUUUGUUUCCAUUAUUAAUCAAGUAUAGAUGGAUGGUGGUUAUUAAAAAAGAUUUUGAGUUUAACAAUUUAGAUAAAAGCAUGGUCCUGAAAAAAACUUUAUGGCGAAAGUUGAUCAAUAUAAUUGACCCCACUUAGUGGGAUAAGGCUUGAUUGUUAUUGUUGUUGUAUAGAUGGAUGGCGGUAAUGAUUUUUCAAACACACUUACAAUCUUUGAUGGAAAGAAUUAGGAGAGAUGACAAAAAUAAAUGAAGACUUUGUUUGGCUAGCAAGACAUACUCGGAGUAGUUAAAAAAAGAGUUUAAGAACUCUGAGCAAAUGCAACUAAAGCACAUAAGAAUGUUCAUAAGGAAGAGAAGAAGAAAGAUUGCAAAGUUAUAUACUCAAUACAAGCAGUAGUAUAUGCUGCAAAAUUUGACGAAAUUUUUCAUGUUGACAAGGCAAAUGAGGCAUGGGACAUCUUGAUCGAAUAUUAUGAAGGAGGUGACAAAGUGAAAGUUGUUAAGUUGCAAUCUCUAAGAAGAUAGUAUGAAUUGCUACAAAUGGAGAAUAAUGAAAAUAUUGAAACCUAUGCAGCAAAGAUUCAAGGCUUGGUUCACAUGAUAAAAAGUUAUAGUGAAUUCAUGAAAACUGCUGAUAGAAAAGGUCAAGUUAUUGAUAGUGGAAAUCCCAAGAGGAAACUAUUUAGUACUGGAGUGAGUCAUGUAAUUUAAGGUCAAACUAGGAUAAUCUCUGGUGUGUUCUCUCUAACUUUUUUUUUAUUUCGCAACUUAAUCUCAGCUUCUACCCUCUUCUUAAAAUCAACCAAGUCAAUAUAAAUCGAUUUUCUAAAAAGUUUUUAAAAUACAAAUAUCACAAAAUCACUCAUCCUUCUCUUGUGUUUGGAGUCACUUAUUCAAUACAAGAGCCAGUUUAAGAUCUGCAGACUCCAACUUCCAAUCAGAAUGGUGGUUCUGAUAGGCAUAAAGGUAAGAAGACUCUAGAUAAAUUCAAGAAGUAUACAUACUCAAUCUCCCAAAAUACUAAGCUUUAUGGUAAACCUAAAUCCUUCACGAAAGGAGUGUUGAAGUAGUUAAGUAAAACACAAGAGAAUGGGGUGAAUUGUGUUUAAAACGGUUUAUGUUAGUUCAACAGAGAAGAAGAAGAAGAAGAAGAAGAAGAAGAAGAAGAAGAAGAAGAAAGUAAAUGACAUAAAUUAAAGUGAAAGAGUUAGAGAGAGUGCACCACAAAUUUAUAUAGGUUCAACCUACCACUUGUCCUACUCUUAUCCCUAAUAUUUUACUCUUGAGAGUUCCAUUAAUAUUGAGACUUGAGAUUUUAAGGAUAUGCCCACGAAUAUUUUACAACAAUGAGAAAAUUAUUUUAACGAUCAGAUAUCGCUUUCACACUGUCGUACUCAAAUCAAUAUCUAAAUAUUUUUUGCUUUCGCGCAAAAAAUUUAACUUUUUGAAACACAAUUCAGAACCAGAAAAUUGUUUUAUUAUAAAAAUUCAAUGUCAUAAUUUUAUCAAGUCUCGUUGGAAUGACGAUCCUCACAUUCUGAGCUCUAUGAACUUAGUCGGACAUAUCUAACUAAUUAAUUAAUUAAUUUCUAAAUGAAAUCUAAUUAGCCUUUUAACUUUAUUUGAUCACUUAAUUGCUUAAGGCACUUAAUUUGAUAAAAUAGCUAAUGUAAUAUAUUAGUAUGAAUGUUAGUAUGAAUGUUGCAGCAAUUCAACAUAUAAAUUAGUAAUGGCAAUAAAAUAAAGAUACAAAAAUUAGACGUACUGAAUGUAAACAACUGCAAAACCUGAUACUGCAAAACUUCUGAAAUAAAUUCUAAAAAUAUUCUGGCAGGAUUACAAUACGAAUGAUCCAAAUCUCUCCAGCGAAACUUCUGAUUUUAACUCUAAAGUGCAGCAAUUCAUUAGUGUGAGAAAUAACUUCUUUACAAAGUACUUUUCUGCCUAACAAUUACUCUAGAGUAACUUGGAUCAUGAAAAGCUGAAAACUCAACCUAUUUAUAGAGCUAAAACUGGUGUUAAGAGUGCUGAAAAAUCGUGUUGGAGGAGUGAGAGAAAUAUCUGUUGAAGUGGGAGAAGAAUGAGUUCAAUUAGUUGUUAUUUUUCUGGGCACGAAGUUCAUGGCGAACGCCAUGGCCUCUUGGCAAAUGCCAUGAGUACAAAGGUUGCAGAACAUGGCUUUCAAGUCCAUGGAGAACGUCAUGAGUUCAAAAUUGUUGUUCCUUGAUUGGUAUUUUUUAUUAGGCGGCACCAAUGGCUGCCACGUUAUGGCAACCACCAUGGUGAGCACCAUGAGUGCAUAAUCUUGGUAUUUACGCCGUCUUCGUCCCAUUUUCUCACACGGAUACUCCUACUAGGGAAAUACUUGAAACAAACACAAUAUACCAGCAUAACACAAUAAAAAGGAGACAAAAUCAGGUAAAAUGUCAUGUGCGUCGAGUCAAAAACGUGAUGUGUUUCGUGGUUAUCAAAUUCCCUCAUACUUGAACCCUUGCUUGUCCUCAAGUAAGUUGCUAGCAUAUAUGAUUUUUUUUUGUAAAUGCAGCAUUUUAGUAUGAAGACUUAAAGAAACCAUAGCAUUCAAAUACUCGUACAUGGCCACAAAAUCCAUUUCGGUCAAAAUUGACUUUAUAGGUACAAAUUGUUCACCAAGGAUAUCGUGAAAACACACUUCUGCAUUUUACGGUCAAAAGUCUCCCUCCUAUGCAAACUAAUAUGUAUCAUGCCGUUAUGCAUAAACCUAACUCGCUCGUCCCUUUUUCAUUCUAACACAAUCAUAUUAAGCUCGUUAUCCUUUCACGCUCAUAGUAUGAAAAUAUGUUAGUGACUAUGAUCUGGUUUUAUCAAUUUGUGCACUUUGGAUUUAUUCAUUAAUAAAUAAAAGGAUAAGUUAUCAUUGGGCUAAAUGAUCGGGUGAGAGUGACCUAACUUAUAAGGAACAUUCCCUUUUUAUUCAUUUACCUUUUAAGGUCAUGAUCAUUCACUUAUUUGCAUCAAAUUCCCUACGUAGUGUAUGCUUUAAGAUGGUGUUGACUACUUAGAUAAACUACUCAAGGAUUAUUAGAACACAAGAACUCAAGGUUCAGGCAUAAGAGAUAUUCAAAUUGAUCUCCAUAUUUGGGAGGCUUGAGGUGUUGGGACGAUAUCGAUUUUGCAACAAUUUUCCCAUGUCUCCUCAAUCUAGCCUCUAUUUCAUUUGCAGCCUAUAUACUUUCUAAUCAUGCUACCGAUUUCAAGUUUUAUCGACAGGGCUCAAGAAACUGGGAGAUUCGAUAAACAAUAAGAAACCAUGCAUAAAGACUCGACAUCACAUGAAUUGACUCAAAUAACAACUCAAAUAAAAAUUAAACUAAUAAGCGGUAAAAAUCCUAAUUAACAUGAAUAAACUAGAAAACGGUAAAUCUAACUAGAAAACAAUAAAAGGAAAAAAAUAAAGUUCUUCCCCCACACUUUAACCGAAAAUUGUCCUCAAUGUUUCAAUAAAAGUGGGAAAAGGAAAAGAAUAACUUGGAUAAUGGAGAUCAAUGUCGACCAUGGGAACACAACGACAGUAGAUACCGGUGGCUCCUCUUUUGAAAAGGAAGGGUUCAUCCCAAUAGAAUUUUUUCUGAUCAUGGAAGAAUUUCUUCUUCUGUUGGUAAUUCAUAUUUGGAGGUAGGACUCCGACUGUUAGGUAGUUUACAAAGUCAGUAUGUCAUGGAAUUUUAGUUUGUGCUAGGGAAACUUCUUCUUCUAUUUCAUUUUUAAUAAUGGAGCUACCUUUAUAAAAAUAAUAAUUGAAGUGAGCAUAACUAGGUUCUUCGGUUCCAAGUAACACGACUAUUAUAUCAUAUGGAAAAUCGUCAUUAAUGGGCACAUGUUCAGGUUUAAUAUUAUCUAGUCUAGACAGGUGAUCAGCUACCACGUUUUCGAUUUCCCUUUUGUCUCGUAUUUCUAAGUCAAAUUCCCGCAACAGUAGGAUCCAUCGAAGUACCUUGGAUUUGCAUCUUUCUUGCUUAAUAGAUACCUUAUAGUUGUAUGAUUUGUGUAGAUAAUGAUUUUAGCUCUUACUAAGUAAGAACGAAACUUAUAAAUUGCGAAUACUACAACUAGGAGCUCUUUUUCAGUCGUGGCAUAAUUUGUUUGAGCUUCAUCUAGGGACCUUAUUGCAUAAUAGAUGAUACACAAUUUUUUAUCUUUUCGUUGUCCUAAGACAAUGCCUACUGCAUAAUCACUUACGUCGCACAUGGUCUCGAAUGGCUGACUCCAAUCGGGAGGUUGCAUAAUAGGUGCGGAGAUCAGGGCAUGUUUAAGGAGUUGAAAUGAUUCAGUGCAUUUUUUAUCACAAAUAAACUCAAAUUCCUUCAUCAAGAUACUGGUUAGGGAUUUUGUGUUUUUAGAGAAAUCCUUAGUAAAACGUCGAUAGAAACCAGCACGUCCUAGAAAACUCUGGACUUCUAUGACAGUCUUAGGUGGUUGGAGGUUCUCAAUAACCUCAAUCUUAGCUUUAUCAAUCUUAAUUCCCCUUUCAGACACUAUAUGUCAUAGGACUACGCCCUAUUUUACCAUGAAGUGACAUUUCUCCCAAUUAAGCAUUAAGUUGACUUUCACACACCUCUCUAGUACCUUCUCUAAAUUAGCAAGGCACCCUUCGAAACUCGAUCCGCAUACGAAAAAGUCAUUCAUGAAUACUUCCAUGAUAUCAUAUAAGAAGUCUGCGAAUAUUACCAUCAUACAUCUUUGGAAAGUUGCAGAUGCAUUAUGUAACACCCCAGAUUGCUAUUAGGAUUAUCGACUGACCCCAGAAACCAACACUAGUUUUUUUAGCAUGUUUUAUCCUCACUCACACGCUUUCCAGGAAACUUCCCAGAAGGUCACCCAUCCAAAUACUACUCCAAGUUAAGCACACUUAACUAUGGAGUUUUUAUCUAUUUGGCUACCGAAAAGAAGAUGCAUCUUGUUGGUAUAGGUAGUACCAAUUAAUCCUUAUAAGUCAUCCUUCAACCAUGCAGUCUCAUACCUGCACGACCUCAGGAUCCCUCUCAUUCCGAUGUGAAUUCGGUUUUUUCCCUAGAAGCUACUAGGAGUGUCUCAUUGUCAUGCCUCGUGCACCUACAACCACUCCCUCGCCCUCGGGUGUAACAUGUAACCACUUUUUGGCCUCUCUGGCGUUACAUGCCCACCAGCGUUACAUGCCCACCAGCUUCCGCUUGGUUCGUCCCCGAACCACAUCGUACUGGGAGAGGUAUGGCUCUGGUACCAUUUAUAACACCCCAAAUUGCUUUUUAGGGUUACCGAGUGACCCCACAAACCAACACUAGUCUUUUCAGCAUGUUUUGUCCUCGCUCACACGCUUUCCAGGAAACUUCCCAGAAGGUCACCCAUCCAAAUACUACUCCAAGUCAAGCAUGCUUAACUAUGGAGUUCUUAUCUGUUUGACUACCGAAAAGAAGAUGCAUCUUGUUGGUAUAGGUAGUACCAAUUAAUCCUUAUAAGUCAUCCUUCAACCAUGCAGUCUCAUACCUGCACGGCCUCAGAAUCCCUCUCAUUCCGAUGUGAAUUUGGUUUUUCCCUAAAAGAUACUAGGAGUGUCUCAUUGUCAUGCCUCGUGCACCGACAACCACUCCCUCUCCCUCAGGUGUAACAUGUAACCAGUCUUUGGCCUCUCUGGCGUUAUAUGCCCACCACCUUUCGCUUGGUUCGUUCCCGAACCACAUCGUACUGGGAGAGGUAUGGCUCUGAUACAAUUUGUAACACCCCAGAUUGCUUUUAGGAUUAUCGACUGACCCCACAAACCAACACUAGUCUUUUCAGCAUGUUUUGUCCUCACUCACACGCUUUCCAGGAAACUUCCUAGAAGGUCACCCAUCCAAAUACUACUCCAAGUCAAGCACGCUUAACUAUGGAAUUCUUAUCUGUUUGGCUACCGAAAACAAGAUGCAUCUUCUUUUCGGUAGCCUAACAGAUAAGGAAGAGGGAAAUGGUCUUUUCGGGUGGCUUUGUUUAAUUCUUUAUAGUCAAUACACAUUCGCCACCCAGUCUCUACACACUUAGAUACAAAUUCAUCUUUUUCAUUCUUAACUAUUGUUAUUCCUCCUUUAUUUGGUACUACAUGUACUGGACUGGCCCAUUGACUAUCUGAUAUCAAAUAAAGUAUUCUAGCUUCAAGCAACUCUAACACUUCCUUUCUAACUACCUCGUUCAUAAUAGGGUUAAUCCUCCUAUGAUGUUCUCUAGAGGCUUUAGAGCCCUCUUCUAGCAUAAUUUUGUGCAUGCAUAUAGAGAGGCUAAUUCCUUUUAGAUCAAAGAUGUUAUGGCCUAAAGUUGAAGGGUAUUUCCUUAACACAACCAAAAGUUUCUCAGUUUUGUCUCUAUCAAGAUCAACAUUAACUAUUAUUGGACGAUCAAGUUGCUCGUCUAGAAAGUCAUAUCUCAGAUUUUUGGGAAGUUCCUUAAGUUCUACUGUUGGUUGCUUAGGUCUAGUCAUAAGAUUAGGAGUAAGUGAAAGAUAUUCUCUUAGGCUAUCCUCUACAUAUGGGAGAUAGUAUUCAACCUCAUCUUCUUCUACCAUGGCGGUGUCUGGAAGUUUGACCAACUCUGUAGUUGGUGGUGUUUCUGAUGCUAGCUCUUUUAUGCACUCAUCAAUAAUGUCUAUAAAACAACAGGUAUCAUCAAUAGUUGGAGCAUCUAGAAAUUGGGAAAGAAUAAACUUUAUUUUCUCCUCACCAAAUUCAAAGGUUAGUUUCCCUCGUUUCACAUCUAUGAUCGCACUGACUGUGGCUAAGAAGGGUCUUCCUAAGAAGAUGGGGAUGUUGGAGUCUUCCUUUAUAUCCAUCGCUAUAAAGUCUGUAGGAAUGUAAAAGUGGCCAAUACGCACUGGAAUAUUUUCCAACAUACCUAUUGGGUGCUUAACAGAGCGAUCGGCUAACUGGAGGGACAUCCUUGUAGAUCUUAAGUUUCCUAAGUUUAGCUUCUCACAGAUCGAGAUGGGCAUUAAGCUAACACUAGCUCCCAAAUCACAAAGUUCCUUGUCGAUGAUAAACUUGCCAAUUACACAUGGAAUAUAAAAACUACUUGGGUCUUUCAACUUUGGUGGCAUAUUGAUUUGGAUAAUGGCACUACACUCUACAGUGAGUGCCACUGUCUCGUCAUCUUCAAGUUUCUUCUUGUUUGAUAAGAUCUCUUUGAUAAACUUAUAGUAUGAGGGAAUUUGUGUAAUGGCCUUCGUGAAAGGUAUAGUAAUGUGAAGUUGCUUUAGUAGCUUGAUGAAUUUUUUAAACUAACCCUCAUGCUUAGAUUUUGCAAGUCUUUAAGGGUAUAAUAUAGGUGGCUUAUAAUGUAGUGGAGGUACAUAUGGCUUUUCUUUCUCGAAAGUUUCUUUGUUUAUGGUCAUCUCUUCAUUAUCAUAUAUUGGUGUUCUUACUUGGCGCUUAUCAGUCGCUUUCUCUGGUUCCUUCUUAACUCUCUUAUACAUCGUUUGAUCUAUAACUCCAGGAUCAACGAGUUUAUCUAAUUUCGUCCCACUUUGCAGUGUGAUGACGUUAGCAUGGACUUUCGGAUUGGGUUGAGGUUAUCCUAUAAAUGUGACAUUAGGAGAAGCAGUAACCUCUUGUUAUUGAUCUAUAAAUGGCGUCAACCUUGUUUUCCGAUUCUUUCACCAACUCGUUUGUGUGAAGAUUUUGAUUCAUGAAUUCUUUAUUUUGCUGGGUCUAGGUUGUGAUGAAGUUUUCCAUAAUUAAUUCCAAAUUUUACUUUCUAGGAGCGGAAGGAGCAACCGGGGCUCAUUUUUGUAAACCUAGAGGAGUUGUUGGUGGUGGACUGGAAGCAAAUAAUGUGUUGUUGUUCUUGUAGGAAAAGUUUGGAUGAUUUCUCCAUCCAGGGUUAUAGGAGUUCGAGUAAGGAUUUCCAUGUGCAUAGUUAACUUGGUCAGGUGGACUUCCUGUCAAAAGCUUACAAUCUGUAGUGACAUUCCCUUGGACUCUACAGAUAUUGCAGUUUGGAGUUACAACAGCUACGGUAGUUGGAUGGGUAAUAAUUAAGUUGUUGAUCUUUCGAGUAAGUGCAUCGACCUUAACACUUACAUGAUCUAAGCCAUUAAGUUCGAACAUGACUCUCUUUUGUUGUGUUUUCUCUACUUGAUCACGUUCGGUCCCCUAUUGAUAAUGGUUAUGGGCUAUGUUUUUUAGAGAACUGGUUCUGUUGCACUAUUUGCACCAAAGAAGGUUUCAAUUCGAAAGUGUUUGCCUGGAUUGCAGGUGAAACAAUGCUUGAGUGUGGCUCGUCCUCGGAUGGAACAACGUAAUCCUUAAGAGGACGAUUAUUGGGUUCAACCACAGGGAUGAAUAUGGCUCUAAGUUCUUGUAAUCGGGGUUUGAUGAAGGAAACACUCGAUUUUGUUAAUAGGUUGUUCUAACUCGUCUCCAUUUAAGCAAGGGUUGGGCAUACAACCGAGAGAAAAGGAAAAUAAGAUCGCAUUAGUUUAUGUAGUGCUACAACAGAAUCACAAUAUUGAUUGUUGGUCCCCGACAACGACACCAACAAUUUUGUAAGUAUCCCGCAAGUGCAUUGAAAAAUCAGUUAUAAUAUAAAAAACAUUGAACUCGCAGAGAUCAAUGUCAACCUACCAUUAUCUAUUGUCGCUUUGUAAAUCUAAGGCUAUCGGUCAAAGUUUUGUUUGAAAAUGAAUUAAAAUAAAUGGUUUAUGAAUUAAUAGAAACGGAGACCAGAAUGUAAUUUUAGAGUACCUUUGGGACUCAGAUAAAAUUCAGCACUUCACUUUGUUUUAAAAAUCACUUUCAGAAGAAUUAUUAAUUUAAAAAUACUGAUCAUUUUUGCACAUCCCGUAUUGAAUUUAGGAACCAUAAUUGCCUGCUGUCGCACGUUACAAGUUACAAUUCUGAAAACUUUUUUGAAAAUCAACCGUCCUUAAUUAAAUAAUAAAGCAAUUUUGUUGUUUUUAAAAAUUAAAAAUUCGAACUUUAACGAUAGGAUACCGCUUUCACACUAUCGCGCUGAAAUCAGUAUCUAAAUAUUGUUCACUUUCACGCAAAAAAUUUAACUUUUUGAAACAAAAUUCAGAACCAAAAAAUUAUUUUAUUAUAAAAGUUCACUGCUAAUAAUUUUAUCGAGUCUCAUCAGAACGAUGAUCCUCACAUCCCAGACUCUAAAAACUUAGUCAAACAUAUCUAAUUUGAUUAAACUCAUGUAGUUAUUCUGCAUAACAAUUAAACUAGACAUGAACAAUGAUUUAAUAAUAAAAAUGUGAUGUUGAUGGUAACUAUAUAUAUAACGAUCCUCACAUCCCGGACUCUAAGAGCUUAGUCAAACAUAUCUAAUUUGAUUAAACUCUUAUUCUACAUAACAAUUAAACUAGACAUGAACAAUGAUUUAAUAAUAAAAAUAUGAUGCUAAUGGUUAAAAUAUAUAUAUAUAUAUAUAAUAUAUAUAUAUAUAUAUAUAUAUAUAUAUAUAUAUUAUAUAUAUAUAUAUAUAUAUAUAAUAUAUAUAAUUAUAUAUAUUAUAUAUAUAUAUAUAUAUAUAUAUAUAUAUUUGUGUGUGAGUGUGUGUGAACGUGAAUCAGCAGUGAAUAUUAGUAUGAGUGCAUCAGCAAUCUAACAUAUAAAAUAGUAAUAGCAGUAAAGUUAAGGGACAAAAAUUAAACGUGCUGAAAGUAAAUAACUGCAAAAUCUAAUACUGCAAGAAUUUUGAAAUAAAUUCUAAGAAAAAUAUUCCGGCAGGGUUACAAUACGAACGAUUCAAAUUUCUUCGGUGAAACUUCUGAUUCUAACUCUAAAGUGAAUCCAUUCCUCAGUGUGAAAAAUAGUUGCUUUACAAAAUUACUUUUCUGCCUAACAGUUACUCUAGAAAAACAUGGAUCAUGAAAAGCUGAAAACUCAACCUAUUUAUAGAGCUAAAACCAAUGUCAAGAGUGUUGAAAUCGUGUUGGAAGAGUGGGAGAAAAACUGUUGAAGUGGGAGAAAAUUGAGUCCAAUUAGUUGUUAUCUUUUUGGGCACGAAGUUCAUGGCAGACGCCAUGGCCUCAUGAUGAAUGUCGUGAUUAUAAAUGUUGUGGAACAUGGAUUUAGGUCUAUGGCAAAUGUCAUGGCUUCAUGGAGAAUGCCAUGAGUUCAAAAUUGAUGUUCCCACAUUCGUCUUGUUUACUUGGUGGGGCACAUGGCUCCCACGUCAUAGCAAGGGCCAUGGUGAAUGCCAUGAGUUCAGAAUCUUUGUAUUUUCUUCAUUUUACGUCAUUUUUGUCUCGUUUUCUCGCACAAAUGCUCAUAUCUGGAAAAUACCUUAAACAAAUAUAAUAUACUAGCAUAACACAAUAAAAAGGAGACAAAAUAAGCUAAAAUGUCAUGUGCAUCGAUUCAGAAAUGUGAUGUGUUUAGUGGUUACCAGGCUGUUGACAAAGAAGGGAGUUGUUCAAUCAACGUUUUACUAUGCCAAUCACUCGGACAAGAAAUCGGUGGGAUCAAGUUGGAUUUCCAUAUACGAAGACUUGGAGAAGAAUUAUUGUGGAUAGUAAGGUUAUUGGAUCAUGAUAUUUAGGGAUCUUAUUUUUGUUAGCAAUUGGAGUGUCUGCAUCAAUAGAGGGAAUUAUUGUGUGAUGUUUCAUUGAAAUUAAAAUGAUUGUAUUAAACUUUUCAAAAUAGUGGAAUAUCAUGAUUACUUUUUUAUGGUUCUUUAAUACCAUUGGAGAGUGGAGUAGGAAAAGCGAGGACGAACGUCAAACCACUAUAUAUCUUCGUGUAUCUUUUCCUUAUUCCCUUACCUCUUUUAAUUUUCCAACAUUCAUUUAAUAUUGUUAUUGCAUUAGUGCAUUAUUGCAUUGAUUGUAUGUCAUUUAGGUUAUAUUGUUCUCAUAAAGAUUUAAUGUGUAAUCUUAGGUAUGUGAUGCAUCAAUCUUGUUGGAUCAUCAUAAGUUCAAUCAUGUCUUGAAUGAACAACUAUUUAAAGUAUUUUUAAAUCUCUUUGUUUUAAAGCGGCUUUGGUUAUCUUGUAACUGAUUUUAAUUAGAAUUAAUCAAGUCCUUAGUAAUAUCUUAUAAUAUCUCAAUUGGUUUAAUUUAUUGAGAUGAUUCCAAGCUCUCUUAGUGUUGUGUUUUGCAUCCACGUUUCUUAAAAUAUUUGAUUUUUUAUGGGGCCUAAAAUAUUUUUUAAAUUGUCUUUUUGGGGAUAGGUCUAUUCAACCCUCCUUCUAGAACUCUUUGUGUCCAUAUUCUCACCCAAUAAUUGGUAUAAAAGUGGGGCUUUUGAUCAAAGUCUUGCGACUCCAAAAGUGGAGGAUAUGGUUCCAUCGAUCCUAUAAGAGUUUUUCUAUCAGUUUAAAAAGUUUAUGCAAUUUAAUAAAUUCCAAUUAUUUUACAAUGAUUUCCUAAUUUAUGAUCAUUCAUUGCAUGCAAUACAUAGAAUAACUUAAAGUAAAGCCUUACUAGUUAUUCUUCAAACAUUAAUUGUAUUUAAGAUAUUCUCUAAGCUUUUAUUCAUCCAUGAAUGAACUGACAAUAUUUUGAGGUAUGUUCAGUGUAACCAGAAACCUGACACUAUGUCUUAAAAUUUGUUUUUAAUUGAUCCUAAUUAAAGAUGGACAUGCAUUCACACAAUCACAUGCUUGAAGUUUUUGAGAAAUAGAAGAAAGAAAUAAAAAGUAUCUUCAAGUGGAAUGUUCUUCCAAGGUUAUCGUAAAAAGAAGAUGAAGACAUUUUAUGACUAUUGGCAAUGUUCUCUGAAGUUUCAACAAUCACAAAAUAUUCAAGAGUAGAAAUGUGUUCCUUGAAGUUCUAAUAAUGAUCAAAGAGAUGAAUCAAUUAUUUAAGAUUGAUAAGAUAUGUCAAUCAAUGAUAAUCAUAUCAUCUAUCGUUCAUGUUCAUUCGAAGCCUUAUGAAGCAGAGUCUGGUAUUAUUCUUCAAAAGUGAAAUAGGAUUUGUAUCCGAUUAAGUAAUAUGAUUGAUAAUAUUUUACCUUAUGAUAUUCUUGUUGUUGAUUACUGAUUGUUUUUAUAUGCAGCAAGUUGAGCCUGGAUUGUCUAAAUUGGUAUGAUUGUUUCAACCCUCCUUUAUUUCUUGUAUGUAUACAUAUGAUAAUUAUUUGCGUGCUAGAUGUGUUAUAUGUUUGAAAUGUGUAUGUGUAUGUGAUAUGUUUGUGCAUCUCAUGCCUUAAUCAUUCAACCAUUCAAUGCAUAGGUUUAAAUUUUAUUUCGUCUGUUCAUUGCAUCUAUAUGCAUCUUUCAUCCAUUCAUGCAUCACCAUUUAUCUGUUUAAUUAAAAUCAUUUUUGAAUUCACAUUAAAAAUUAUUUAUCAUUAACAUCAUCAUUUAAAUUUUAAUUUCAUUAAAAAAAAUUCAUGCAUUAACUUUUUCUUUAAAAGUUUUUCAUUAAUUUUUUUUUAAAAUUUGACUGCUUUAUUCGAAUCACUUUUUAAACCUGAUUCGAAUCAGAAGUCUAGGUGUUGGUGAGUUUUGGGGAUGUGUAAAUUGAUUCGAGUCAGACAUUAUAUUUUAUUCAAAUCAAAGUUCUUUUUUCUCAAAAUAAAAAACUAGUGAUUAGAAUCACAUUUAACACUUGAUUCGAAUCUUAGACCUAAAAGUCACGCUACUUUUUUUUUUAAAAAUUGUUCAAAUUUUUAAAUUCAUUUCAUUUCAACUCCAUUUCAAAAACCUUCCAUUCCUCUCGAAACCAAUGUUCAUGAAAAACCUCUGCAUUCAUGAAUCAUCAACACAUUUAUCAUCAAUCAUCAUCUCUCUUCAUCACAUUCAUCAUCAAAACUCAUUAGCCUCCACCAUCAUGUCUUCAAGCUUUCCCAUAAAAGGAUUUGUCAAAAAAGUAAAAGGGCAAGAGACAAGUUUCAUCAUCAAGCCAUUCUCAUCCACAUAUUCUAAAUAAGCCAAGAAGCAAAGUUCAAACAAGCAAAGAAACUUUUAAUGCCAAAAUAGGAGUAAAUAUACAAGUAUUUAAGCAUCUGAAACAUGACAGUUAUUAUCUUGCUUAAAUUCUGAAGAAUUAUAUAUGUGCUUUAAAUGUUUAAAUUUAAUUAGCCUGGAUAUGACUUGGGAGGAUCACACAAACAUAACCCUAUAGACUGUUAGACUCAGGGGGAGCUUACAAACCUCAGACCUUAAAGUCAACUAGUUAAUUAAAUUAUCAACCAUUGUUCUUAAAUAAUUAUGUUUGUCAUUAUAAAAAACGGGGAGAUUGCUGGAAUAAAAUUGGGUUGUCCCACGUCCCUUAAGUUUUGAUGAUAACAAAGUAUUUUUUAAAAAAUUGGGCAUACUAAUGUAUGUUCAAGUGUGUAGGACCAUAGACUUAAAUUUCAUAUAGAAUCCAAGUAUUGAUUCUGACUAUGAACAUUCAAUUAGGAACUUGAAGAUCAAAAUCGGAUUGAUCAAAAGUUGCAGAGCAGACUCUAAAUAAGUCAUCUUCUAAAGAGAUCAACGUCUGAAGGUCAGAUCUGAAGGAGUCAGCCUCUGAAGACCAGACUUUGGAGAAGUCUACUUCUGGUGAUCAAAACCUGAGUCAACCAAAGCGUAAGGACCAAGGUAACACUGAUAAGUCACUGUUUAUCUCUGAACAUACUUUGUCACAUGAAAAUCUAAGCUCUAUUUUUUUCAUAUAGUAUGUUGGGACACAACUGCUAAUUCCUUUUGUAACAAAGGGGUUUCAAACUAGCAUUCACCUAACCUAACAGUUUGGUGAAACAUUCCAACAUUUCUUUUGAAGCUUCUCAAAGGUCUCUAUUGUUCUGCAUCUUUAACGACUCUUUUUAUUCUCUAUUUAAGGAGCUAAAAAACUUGAGAAAAAUAUGGGCAAUGAACACCAAUUGACAUCAAAAGAGAAGUUACUCUGUCAAAACAAAGCACAAGCAAAACUUAUGAUUUCCUAUUCUUCUAUAUCUUAGAAAUUCUUAAGUCUUAAAAGAGUUUAUUUGUUGUGUAUUUUUUAUACAUCUCUGGUUGUAUAUCAAGUGUAUUUUCCCAACAAUUAUUUAUCAGCUAAGUAGAUUAUAAGAAGUCUCUUACUAAGUGUUUGAGCAUUGGAAGUCUCUUGCUUGUGUGCUUAAGCAAAUAAGUAUCUUGCUUGUGUGCUUGAGCAAAUGAAGUCUCUUACUUUAGUGCUUGAGAAAAUGAAGUCUCUUGUUUGUAUACUUGAGCAUAAAAGUCUCUUACUUGUGUGUUUGAGAAAAGGAAAUCUCUUGCUUUUAUGCUUGAGCAAAUUGUAAUCUUGUGUGAUUAUAGUGAAAAUCUCUUGUAAGUACAAGGGGACUGAACUACUCUCAAGUUGUAAUAGAAUCUAGGAUAACUCUGUGUUGUUCUUCUUUCUUGUAUUUCAUAUCCACUUCCUACCCCUAACUAAAUCAAAUUCUAUAACCUUGUAUUUAGAAUCUAACUUAAGAGUUUAAAAAGAAAGAAAUAGAAAACACAAUUCAAUUAUGUUUUUCUCACCCUUACACACAAAGUACAAUAUAAAGAGCACCAUGUCAUAGUUGGUCACUAUCAUACCCCAAUUUUUCUGGGCAUUUUAAAUUCAUCUAAUACAAGUCCAUUUGUCCAAUUUUACAUUUUUAGCCAUCUGCAUUUUUAUCAUCAAAUAAAGUCACCAUAAUUAUUCAUAUAUGUAUAUAUAGUAAAAAAGUCAACAUAAAGUCAAUAUUUUACAUGUUGAAGAAAUUGAUUAAAAUUACAUUUUUUUAUUGUGCAUUUUGAAAAAUAAAUUCAAGAUUAUUUGAUUUAUCAUCAAAAUAUUCAUUUGAAUUUUAUUAAUCAUUUUCACGCAUCAUAAAAAAAAUCAAUGUUUCUAGAAAAUCCAAAAUGUCUCUCAUUUAUUACAUCAUUAUUCCAUGCAUAUAUUACAUAAUUAUUUCAUGUAUAUAUUAAAUCAUUAUUCACUAUUUAAUUAAAUAAGUUUCUAGAAGACACUCACACUCUUUGCAUAAUUCAUAAACUACCCUUUUUAGAGCCUAUAAAUAAAAUCAUUCUCAUUCACAAAUCUUACCAUCAAUCAUUCACAAAAACUAAGCUAAAACUCUCUUCAUUUUUAUUUUCAUUUUCUUUCAAGUCAUUUCUUUCUUUUUAUUAAAUAGGUAGGCUCUUAUGCUUGCUCUUUAUUUAAUUCUGUUGCAUUUUUACUGUUGUUUUAUUUAUUUAGUAUCUUAAUCGUCACCAUUUUAUAUGAAAACUCAAUUGAUUUUAAAUCAAGAGUUGAAAAGUGUUCUUGAACCUCCAUAAGCAAAAGUGAUUUGUUGUUGUUUUAAAUAGAUCUUAUGUUUGUUCUUUAUUUAAUUCUAUUGUAUUUUUACUUUUGCUUUAUUUAUUUAGUACCUUAAUCAUCACCAUUUUGUAUGGAAACUCAAUUGAUUUCAAAAUCAAGAGUUGAAAAGUGUUCUUGAACCUCCAUAAGCAAAAGUGAUUUGUUGUUGUAUAUUGAAUCUUAUGCUUGUUCUUUAUUUAAUUCUAUUGUAUUUUUACUUUGGCUUUAUUUAUUUAGUACCUUAAUAAUCACCAUUUUGUAUGAAAACUCAAUUGAUUUCAAAAUCAAGAGAUUAAAGUAUUCUUGAACCUCCAUAAACAAAAAUAGUCAAAUGUAAAUUUAUGUUUGUUUUGUAUAAAUAAUGUAUCCAAUAACUUUCCAACAUCACUCUGAGCAUGAAUCUAUAGUUCGUUUGUCAUGAGGGUGUAUAAAAAUGACAAAUCAAGCAAAUAUAUGUUGCUGCAUUUUGUUGAUUUUCGAUUUUUUAGUUGUUUAUUUUCUGAUUUUAUAUAUACCAUUAUGUUUGUGAGAUCGAGUAGAUAGAUCUUAAUUAUUUAUUUGCUUAAUUCUGUGAAAAAUUGAGAAAAUUAUGGUGUGUUUACGUUUUUGUUGGAACCAUUUUUCUUUCAUUUUUGUUGUUACGGGAAUAGUAAUCAAAUAUGGGGUUGGGGAAGAUGUAGUCUUCCCACACCCCUUGAUUGCUCAGCACACCCCUAUAGGCCCCCAUCCUUUGGACCUAGAGUAUUUUUCUAGCUACACCCUCAAUUUUCAAUUUGUUUUUUUCUUUUGUAUAUUUGUUUUAUUUAUUAUUUUCUUAUUAUUGCUUUAUCUAUUUAUUUUUGUUCUUUCUUUUAUUUCCUUUGGUUUUUUUUAAUUCUUUUACCUUUUGUGUUGAUAGUGUGUCCCAUCCCUUUUAUUAUUUUUAUUACCUUUUUUAUUGCUUUAUUUUUUAGUUUAUUUUCUUGUAUUUUUAGUUGAUUCAUAAUUGUUAAUUCAAAAAGAUAAAAUGUCUAUUAAAAUUUACAUUUCAAAAAUACUAAAAUCAAAUGUGCUUGAUCAACAUCAAGUACAUUUCUCAAAAUCAUUUCCAAAUCCCUUUUUGUUUUAAAAUCAAAUUCAAAACCUCGAUUCAACGUCGAGUAUUUUAUUAAAUCAAAACUAAAACACUUUAAUUAUACUUGAACGUUAUUUAGAAAUGAAAAGGGGGAAUGGUUUCGAGCCUUUGACUCCUCUCCUCAAUUGUUUCAGUACGAGUUAUCUUUCUCGAUUAGUCAAACAAUGGUCAUUUCUCUUAAAAACUUCUAAACCAAUUAAAUAAAAUUAUUUUCAUAAUAAACUAAACGAAAACAGAGAUGGUCUAGAGCCUUCGAUUCCUCUCCUCAAAUACUUGGAUACGAGUUGCCCUACUCGAUUAUUCGAGUAUUCAUCAUUUAUCUAAAAAAUAUCAACCAUACAUAAACCCAUUUUUCUAACAAAUUAGAUGAAAAAGAGGAUGGUAUCGAGCUUUCAUUUCCUCCUCCUGAAUACUUGAAUACGAGUUGCCUUACUCGACCAUUGGAAUAUUCGUCAUCCAUUUAAAACACCUUAAUAUUAUCAAAUCCUUUUGCAAUUAAAGAUGAAAAGGGAGAUGGUCUUAGCCUUCGAUUCCUCUCUUUGAUUAUUUGGAUACGAGUUUCCUUACUCGACCAUUCGAGCAAUCAUCAUCCAAUAAAAUAUCUCAACACAUCAAACAUAUCUUUUUCUCGCCCCCAUGCGAUCAAAAACCUUUUCAAAAAGAACAUUGUUCAAUCCCUUCUAAUGUGCAUAACAAACUAGUGCUUAAGCCUCUGCCGAGAGUAGACAAGUCAAUGUUUAGCCUUUAGAACACGAUCUAAACAAUUGUUUAUUAAAAGACACCAACAAACUGUAGUUCCCUGAACUACGAAUGCUCUAAUUUACUUAUUGCACUAUAAGGAUACGUAGGCACGAGAUUGCAAGAUCUUGGCAAAAACACUAAUAAAAAAACCUCAUUUCCCCCCCUUUUUGAGGUUUUCUUUCAUUUCUCUUUUCAAUCUUUUAUUUACUCGAAGAAAAUAAAUAACUUUUAUCUAGCAUUCAAAUUGAAAAUUAGACUAAAAGGUUCCCGUUGAGUACAACAGACGUGAGAGAUGCUAAUAUCUUCCCCUUUCGUAAUUGACUCCCGAACCCGAAUUUGGUUGCGACAAUCAUUAUCCUUUUUUUAAAGGUUUUAUCGAUAUUUUCCUUUCCUUAAUUGGAAUAAAUAAAGUUCGGUGGCGACUCUGUUUGAACACAUAUUUCCGCGACCAUCGUGAAGGAUUGUAUUUUUCGAAAUGCGACAGUCACGUCACCACACGUAUUAGAAGAAGGCUAUGAAGCGUUCUAAUGAUGAGAUUGCAUUUAAUGUCUUUGUUCCCCACUAAUUUUUCAACCGAUUCCAUACAUUUCAGUUCUAUUUCACAUCAGACAACAUCCUAGAGGCCAACCAACAUCGCUUAAGGCUUCAUAUGGCUCCUUCACUUCCCGAUAAAGCCUUGGGGGCAACUCUUAUGGGCCAACCAAAGGCCAAACUAGUCAAGGCUCGAUGCAUAUAAAAUCCACUCCACUUUACCUAGGGUAUAAAUUAGUUCACAUGCAAAGGGCAAAGUGUAUUCUAUGAUCUAUACUUUUCACUACAGUUAUAUUGAAUCUUGAACUAACUUUGGCGUUGGAGUACUAAGCAUGCAGGUCCAUCCUGUGUCGUCGUAUAGGAGAUCAACACCACUCAUUCAAGAGUUUUAGUUCUCCAACUGCAUCUAUUUAUGAUUCUUGAACGAAAUAAUAACUAACUUCAUAUGUGUUUACUACUAACUCUAUAUGUGGUUACUACUAACUCAAUAUGUGGUUACUAACUAGAAAUUAAUUAGUUAGUAGUAUGUGAAGGAGAAUUGCGGUCCAAAACACAACGGAAAUUAAAAUUUUCUCCUUAGAGAUCCUUACGAAUGGUCAUGAUCAGUGAUAGAAUAUUUACCUCUUGUGACGAUUGAAACCUUUCGUGCAGAUCUCUUGUGACGAUCAAAACCUUUGAUGCAGAUCCACGGAGCGAUCACGAACGUUGAACGAUGACAACGUCUCUACUCAGUCCACACGAACAGAUUCCUUCACUCUCAGUGCUAGCUGGUACGAAUGAAGGCUUUGAGUGAGAGAGAGAGAGAGAGAAAGAAAAUAAUGCAACCGCUAUUUUAUGCUUCUGCACAAGGGUUCUAUUUAUAGAACCACUUGUGUGGGCUUCAAGCUAAAAAGCCCACUUAAGUGUAUUUUGGCCCAUAUCUUAUAAUAUGCCCAAAAUCACUUAAGCCCAUGGUACCUUACCAUAUUUCGUAUUCUACUCAAGUACACCGUACCUUACGAUGUUCUAUAAUUCACUUAAGGGCACCGUACCUUACGGUAUUCCUUAGUUACUCUAUCUCUCAUCAAUCCGUCCUUUGUGUGUGACCCUGUAGGUUUUCGUGACGUUGGAAAUUAUAUUAAAUCACGCAUUUAACAUAAUAAACAGUGAGCGGUAUCUAGCAACACAUCACUGCUACCCAAGACACGAAAAUGUCAUGUGAUCUGACAAAACCUUCUGUGAUAAUACUUAUGUGUAUAAUUACCCUUUUGCCCUUAUGUCUAUAUUGAACACAAGGUAUAGACCGUGUCAUCCUUGUCCAGUUCAAUAUUGGGCCCAUAGACAUUUAUCCUGUUACGCAGGAUGGGCAAAUUCCAUCUAGGUCACUCAUGUCCCUCAGCAUGCUUCGUGGAGUACCCAUCAACUGUCUUUAUGGUUAUCCAGUUACGGACAACGUUGGAUCAGCAAUAAAGCACUCGACUCUACAUCUAGGAUCCAUAGUGGUUUCAGGUCGAAGAGUGGUAUACACUAUUAUCACCAUGAGAAUAACUUAUGACACUUUGCAUAACUUUCUAUAUAGUAUUCUCAUAGCGGGUCAAUCCGGUAUAAAUAUUACUCCUAAUAUUCAUACCUAUGUUUAAGACUUGAUAACUCUUUAUCCAUGAUCCAUGAGAUGUGAUCAUCAGUCUACAAACAUAAUAGUCUUAAUGCUUUAAUGUUAUCCCACUUCACACUAAAGCUCGACUACGGAUACUUUAAGAAUAGUGUCCUUAUGUUUAAUGUGUUCUCAUGAUUAAGUCACACUUAAUACAUUAAACAGACUAUCUAUUCCAGGGACUUUAUUAAUCAACCAUAAUAAAGAAAAUGCCUUUUAUUAUUAAUAAAUAAUUCGAUAUAAGUAUCAAAAAAGUAUUGGCCUCUAGGGCUUACACCAACAGUAUGAUCAUAUUUAAAUGAUGUAACUCUUAUUUGUAUUGUUCAUUAAGUCAAAUUGAAUACAAUCACUCCUUUGAUCCUUCCCAAUCUCGCUUUAUUUCUCUAUUCCCCUCAUUUAUUGUAGAGAAAUAAAAAUUGUGUUAUAACAUUAUUAAGCCAGUUUAGUCGGUAGUUGUAAAAAAAAUGAGAUUGUAGGUGCACGUGUUCAAAGCUACAACAUUCCACUUAUUUCAUUUAUAACAUAUUUUUAUACACACAAAAAAACAACAACAAAAUACCCUCUUUUAUUUGCUUUACUGGUUUUUUAAGAGUUUGUUUGAUAAAACCAAAAAGUUAGCUUUUAGCUUUCCAACUCACAUCAAUAAAAAAAAAUCAUGUUUGAUAACAAUUUUUUAGCACAAGGUUGUACCUUUUUUUUACUAGCUUUUGACUUUUUUUCAAAUGUUAUUUGAAGUAACUUUUGAACUUAUAUCUUUUAGUUUGUCAUUUCAUCUCCUAUUUUUUAUUCUUAUUAUUUUAAUUAAAAUUCAUUUUUAUCAUUUAUAAUUUAUUAUAAUUUAAAUUAAAAUAAAUAUUUUUUUAAUUGUAAGCAUAGAAAAGUAAAUUUUUUUAUCUAAAAAUAUUGUACUGCAAUGCUUCCUGCCUUCUCUUACUCGUCGUUUUCACUUCACUUUCCUCCAUUCUCUUCCUCAACAUAUUUCACCCUUAUUUUUUAUUGUUGUCGUUCUUCACUAUUAUUUCGUCAUUUAUCAUCUAUCACCAAAGUAUUUAUAUGAGUUUAAUACAUUUUGGUUUUAUGUUAAAUUUCCCAUAUAUAUUUCAAAUAUUUUACAUGUAUUUAUUGUUAUAUUUAAUUUUAUCAAAUGAAUUUUCAUUUAUUAAUAAUAUAAAAGAUAAUGGAACCUGGAAGUUAUUAAUUAAAAAUCUCCUUUUACAUUUUUUAUAUUUAUUAAUUAAUAUGUACUAAUUCAUUAAACAUUAUAAUUAAUUUAUUACUCCCUCGUCUCAUAAAAAGUGUCUCAUUUAUACUUUUUAUUUAUCUCAAAAUAAUUGUCCUUUUAUAAUAUCAAUGCAACAUUUAUUACUAUAAUUUUUCCACUACUAUACCCCUAUUUAUUAAUAACUUUUACUUUAUUCAAAUACUCUAUUAAAUAUAAUUAGUAAGGGUAUUCUAGUAAGUAAUAUUAGUUUUAUCAUUAAAAUUAAUACAUCAAAUCAUUUUCUUAAAAAUUGCAAACUCUUCAAAUAAAACACUUUUUAUAAGAUAGAGGGAGUAGUUAUUAAUUAAUUAUUAAUGUUUCGUUAUCAAUUAGUUAUUAAUAAUUCAUCAUUAGCGAUCACAUAUACUCUAUCAGCUACCUUUUACCUAGAAAAUUUAAAAUAUUUGUUAACUUUUUUUAAUUUAAUAAUAUGUCAUUUGUUUAAAAAUAUUAACUUUUUUAUAUAAAAAGUAUCAUUAGAAAUCAAAUAAGGAAAUUUCCGCAUUCAUUCCAUAUGUGUGUUAACCACUUGCACAAAUUAGUUUAUAUAAAAUAUUAUUUAUAUUAAACUAUAAGAAAGUGAGAGACGUUUGAAUAAAACAUGUGUUUAAAAGAUACUAUGGAGAUUAUAUUAUAUAGAGAGAGAUUACAACUAAUUACAUGUUAUAGUCGAUGUGAGACUAUUUUAUAUACAAAUAUUCUAAAUACUCCCCCUUAAGCUAGAUCAUAUAUGUCCCAUGAGUUGAGCUUGUUUUAAAUGUAAUCCACUAGAGAACCCCUAAGAGACUUUGUAAACAUAUCCGCUAAUUGGUCUUCAAAUUUUACAAAAUAUAUUGUGAUUUCUCAUGAUAAUACUUUGUCCCUUAUAUAAUGACAAUCUAUUUCUAUGUGUUUGGUCUGUUCAUGGAAAACCAUAUUAGAUGCAAUGUGAAGUUAUGAUUAAUUAUCGCAUAUGAGUUUUGUGUUUCGAAGAUCUCCUAUCAUAAGUUUUGAGAGUAAAACACUUUUCAGCCAAGGCAAACUCCUUUGAGGCUGCUGCCAUAACAUGGUAUUUAGCUUCAACACUAGAUAUAUAACUUUAUUUUAUUUCUUGUUUCUACCUGAGCUCAUAUUACCUCAAUCAAAAUACAAUUAUCCGGAUGUGGAUCUCCUAUACGACGGUGAUUUGGCCCAGAAUGCAUCUGAAUAAUAAAUGAUUUUAGCAUCGCUUUUAUCUUCAUAUAAUAUCAUGUUUCUGGUGAAUUCUUUAUAUAUAUAAUAUAAUAUAUAUAUAUAUAUAUAUAUAAUAUAUAUAUAUAUAUAUAUAUAUAUAUAUAUUAUAAUAUAUUAUAUAUAUAUAUAGUAAGAAAUUCGAAUGACUGCAUUCCAAUGACUAUCACAAGAAGCAUUCAGAAACUGUCUCAUAGUGCUCAUUGCAAAUGUAAUAUUCGGUCUGCUGACUGUAAGAUAGUUGAGUAUUCUCAUAAGCCGUCGAUGUCUUCUUAGAUCUUUCAAUGGCUCCCCCUGACCAGGAAAAAGCUUGAUGUUGGGAUCCAUAGGAGUAUCAACAAGACGUCAAUCAAUCAUACUUGUUUCACUAAGAAUGUCUAAGGUAUACUUCCACUGGUUAAUUGCAAUACUGGAUGGGGACUAGAAAACUUCAAUACCUAAGAAGUAUAUGAAUGGACCCAAAUAUUUUUUCUGAAAGUUUUUGAAAAUAUGAGUUUUAAGUCGCUGGAUACCCUCAAUAUCGUCUCCUGUGAUAACAAUGUCAUCAACAUAGACCACAAGAAAGAUGCACCGACCGGUGAAGGAAUGAAGGAAGAAAACAUAGUGAUCUGCUUCACAUCUAGUCAUACCAAAUUGUAUCAAGGCAUAGCUUCAACGAACAAACCAAGAACAUGGGGACUGUUUUAUCCCAUAAAGGGAAUGGUGAAGCCGACAAACAAGUUUAGAAUUGACAAGAAUAGUAAAACCUGGAGGUUGAUUCAUAUAAACUUCCUCCUCCAAUUCUUCGUGUAAAAAGAAAUUUUUAAUGUCCAACUGAUGAAGUGACCAAUGGUGAAUAGUAACCAUUGCAAGAAAGAGACAAACUGAACUAAUCUUGGCCACCGAAGAAAAGGUGUCACCGUAGUCAAGACCAAAUAUCUGUGUAUAUCCUUUGGCUAUCAAACAGGCUUUGAAACGAUCGAUCUGACCAUCUGGUCUAACCUUCAGUGUAUAAACCCAUCGAAAUCCCACUAUAGUUUGUCUGGAGGUAAAGUAAUAAUGUCCCAAGUUUUAUUUGAAUGUAAUGUAGCCAUUUCUUCCACCACCUCCUGACGCCAAUUGGGAUCAAUCAUAGCUUCACCCGUAGACUUAGGAAUAAACACAUAAUCUAAAGCAGGCAUAAAAGAUACAUAGGAAGCAGAGAGAACUUCAUAAUUUAAAACAAAAUCUUAUUUAUGAUUAGGAUUAUGAGAUCAAAUACAUUUUCAUAAUGUUAUUGGAAGGUCAAGUACGGGUGACGUAACUGAAGGAGCAAUUGGAGCAGGAGAUGAUGUUGUGGAUCAAUAUCUUCUCUAACCUCCAAUGAAUGGGGUAUCUGUCAUUGGUAGACCUAUAAUGGAGGUGUAAUGGGUGUGGGAAUUAUGUAAGGGAUAUCUCGAGCAUCUGAAGUACCAUUCUUACCAGGUAACACAAAGGUAGAGAAAAAUGGUGAGGUUUCAAAGAAUGAGACAUCGAAGGAAACAAUGUAUCAUUAAAGUUGGGGACAAAAACAACUAUAUCCUUUUUGUAUACACGAGUAGCCUAGAAAUAUACAUUUGAGAGAUUUGGAAGAAAGUUUGUCUUUACUUGGACUGAGGUCAUGAACAAAGCAUGUGCAACCAAAGACGCAAAUAGGUAUGAGGUAGAGAUUAUAUUGUGGGUUCAAGAAAAAGUAUGGAAUUUGAUAUUGAAGGAUCAAUGAAGGCAUUCAAUUAAUAAGGUGACAAGUUGUGAGAAGAGCAUCACCCCAAAAACGAGAAGGAACACUAUGGUGAAAUAAAAGAGUUUGUGCAAUUUCAACUAAAUGACGAUUCUUCCAUUCAACGAUAAUAGUUUGUUGUGGUGUGUGAGCAAAUGAUAAUUGAUGAAUAAUCUUAUGUGAUGUUAAAAAAGAUUGAAACUGGAAUGACAUGUAUUCAAGAGCAUUAUCAACGCGUAAAUUUUUAAUGUAAUUGUCAAACUAAUUUUUAUUUUCGGCAUAAAAUUCAUGGAAUAUAUGGAAGACAUUUGAACGGUUUUAAAAAAAAACAAUUACAUUGUGUAAAAUCGUCGAUGAAGGUUACGAAGUAAUAAUAUCUUAAAGUUGACUUGACACGACUAGGACCUCAAAUAUCAGAAUGAACUAAAGAAAAAGGUGACACAUCACUUUUAUUUACUCGUUUACAAUAGGUGUAACGAGUAUGUUUUCCUAAUUGACAUGACUGACACUCAAAUGUCGAAAACUAGUAAAAACUAGGAACUAAAAGAUGCAUUUUAUUAAAGCUAUGGUAAUAUAAACAUUGAUGUGUAAGGCUUUGAGAAGAAAUAGAAGCACAUGCCACUGGUGGUGAUAGAUAAUAUAAUCCUCCGAACUUACUCCCUGUUCAAAUCGUCUGUCCUGUACGUCAAUCCUGGACAUAAACAGACUUAUCAAUAAAUAAAACUGAACAAUCAAGAGUACAAGUGAGAUUUUUAACAUAUAUUAGAUUGAUAAGACAACCAUGAGUAUAAAGCACAAAAUCUAAAGACAGGUUUAGAAGUGGGUGUGCCUGAUCAAGACCUUGAAUUUUGAUUUUAGAGUCAUCCGCCACAAUGACAGAAGGCAAAGAAUCAGAAUAUAACAAGUGAGAUAAAACAAACUUAUUACCAGCCAUAUGAUCAGAGGCACCAGAGUCAAGGAUCCAAGGACCAAGGAGGAAGAUGUAGAGACAAAGGCUAGAGGAUUACUAGACCGAGCAACAAUGGUAGAAAAUGAUGGUUGAUGAGCUGCUUUAACUGAAGGAACUCAUUUUAAUCAGUGGCUGGAAUAGUAACUUCUUUGGUAAUAGUGGGUUAGACGUCAGCUGCAACCCUAGGUUGUCGUUGUUGUUCUCUUGCCUUUGUACGACAUUCAACUUCAAUAUGACCUGAACAUGUGUUUAUAAGUUGGGACAAUCAUCACCCUACAAGUCAAUUUUAUAGGGUGAGUUAGGCCUAAAUCACACAUUCUUAAGAUGGUAUCAGAGUCUCGUUUAAGAUCCAUUGAACCAUCCACCAUUUAGUUCCACGCCCCAGACGCAAAUCCUGGACGUGAGAUAGGGUGUUAAAAGUCCCACAUCAGAUAAUCUAUGGUCUGAACAUGUGUUUAUAAGUGGAGAAAAUCCCCACCCUACUAAUCGGUUUUGUAUGGUGAGUUAGGCACAACCCACACAUUCUAAGAGUUUCACUAAUCAAGGACCAAUGGAGGAGGAUGCAGAGACAAAGGCUAGAGGAUUAUCAUACUGAGCAACGAUGGCAGAAGAUGAUGGUUGAUGAGUUGCUUUAAAUUGAAGGAACUCAUUAUAAUCAACAACUGGAAUAAUAACUUCUUUGGUGAUAGUUGGAUGAACGACAGUAGCAUCCCUAGGUUGUCAUUGUUGUUCUCUUGCCUUUGUACGACAUUCAACUUCAAUAUGACCUGAAAAUGUGUUUAUAAGUGAGGGUAAUCGUCACCUUACAAGUCAGUUUUGUAUGGUGAGUUAGGCUUAACCCACACAUGCUUAAAAUGAUAUUAUAGUCUCGUUUAAGAUCCAUUAAACCAUACAUCAUUUAUUUCCACACUUCAGACACAAAUCAUUGGCGUGAGAGGGGGUGUUAAGAGUCUUACAUUCAACUAUCUAUAGUAUGAACGUGUGUUUAUAAGUGAAUUCGCACCCUACUAGUCAAUUUUGUAGAAUGAGUUAAAUCCAACCCACAUAUUCUAAAAGUUUCAAAGAGUGAAAAAAAUGAUAAUUUAAUCAUUGACUUGUAACGAGUAAAAAAAAAGUAUUUUAUAUUAUUUUUAUUUUAUCAAAACAAACAUAAAUAACCUAUAUUUGACGUUACUUUAGCGCAUUACUACCGAAACCGAUUAUUUAGAAUUUUUUACAAAAAUAACCCACUUUUUCAAGGAAAAUCCCAAAAUACCCCUGGUUUCAAAAAAACUCCCAAACUACCCCACUUUUAGGAGGAGUCGCCAAUUGAAUUGGAGACUCCUCUUAAAAAUUGAAUGGAGGCGCCAAUCCAAUUGGAGACUCCUCCUAAAAUGCAAUUUUUUUUGGUAAAUGGUAUACGUGAUAGAUAAAUUUGAUAUAGGACCAAUUGAUAUUAAUAAAAUUUGCCGUUUACACAAAGAAACCUAAUGGUGAUGACCGGGAUCACGUAACCGACCUCCGGUCCCACAUCCUCUAGCUACCCUAACCCGUGGCCCUAACCCACGUUGAUGAUUCGGUAUAUUAAUAAAAUUUGCCGUUUACACAAAGAAACCUAAUGGUGAUGACCGGGAUCACGUAACCGACCUCCGGUCCCACAUCCUCUAGCUACCCUAACCCGUGGCCCUAACCCACGUUGAUGAUUCGGUACCGGUGUUUGAGCAUCUGAGGGCCAGGAGCAUCACUACCAACUACAGGAGAAAGUCUAUUGAGGUAGUCAGACAAGUCGACAUAGUCUUCAGUAUGCAUCGAUGAUGUACCACCGUAGCUGAGCUCAUGACCCAUGCCAGAGAAGUUGGGAUGUGGUUGACUCAUUGAUGGGCGACCGGGACGGUUGAAAGGAGACAUCGAUGUGUACGAUGCAUCGAGGAAAGGUUGGAAAGGUUGUUGGGGUGUUUGGUAGAGAUAGGGUUGUUGGAUGUUUUGGUUUUGUGAGGUUUGGGCUUCUUGGUUACGGUAGGAGGAGGGGCGGUUGGUGUUGAAUGAUCGUUGGGUGUUCUCGCUUAGGCGACUUUGGUAGGGUGAUGGGGUGGGUGCAAAGCGAUGUUGAGUCUCAGGUUCAUGGUCAAUUUGUUCGUGGUGUUAUGGGGUAUGCUCUUGGUAUUGGGGUUGGGUGUAUGGAAUGUUUUGUUGUAUGUUUGUGUGUUGGUUGAACGCAACGUUUGACAGACAGGGGGUUGUGUGUAUCCGGUAUGACACUGUUGUUGGGGGUUUAAUGUUGAGGUGUCAGGUGUGUAAGUCAUCUGGCGUGGGUCGUACAAGUACAUAUCCUCGGCGAUGAACUGAAAACCAACCGAUUUGUACCAAGCCAUAUAAGUACGACUUGGUUUUUCUCAGUUGCAUGACAUCGUCAGUGUAACCACAUGGUCAUUGACGUGGCUUCCAUUUGCGGACACUCGGAUCUUGCCGAAGAUUUGCCAUGGCAUUGAAGUCCAUUGGUCGUUAACUUUGCGCAAAUGCCAUUCUCCUAGGCUAGCUGGGGGAUCUGGGAUAUUUUGGGGCAUACCGAACUGCAGCUUCACACGAUCACUGUUGUGCAUCUCCACAGUUGUGAACCGUAUUAUCGGUGUGCAUGCAAUCCAUACGGCCGCGUCUUCAGUGUUGACUUGAUGGUCAUGAUCCAAAUUAAGGUAUGGACGCCAAAUAAACUGAAAUGUAAAAGAAGAUUGGAUUAUAGUCAAGGUAAAAGAAGUUAACAAAAUAUAACAAAAUAAUUAAGUUAUUUUCCUUACGUCUGUCGGUCGAAGGUGAUCUAACAGGUUGCGAUACUGAGUAAUACAGUGUCUUGGACAUCUGUUGUAACUCAUACCACGUGCAGACCAUCUACACGAAAAAUUCAAAAAAUAUUAGUUAGAGGUAAUAAUAUUUAAAGAAGUAAGUAAAGAUAUAGCAAUUUAAACAACUUACUUUUGUGCAUACGGAAAUGUGAAAGGGUUGUUGUUGACGGGGGCUAGGGACGGUAGUCUAGACCAACCCCAUGCUUGUAGCAAAACAACACAUCCAGAAAAUGUAGAUGUGUCUUUGUGUGAGUUUUUGCACAAGGAGCUAUAGAGAUAGGCUAGACAAGCAGAUCCCCAACUGUAACUUCAUAUUCUAUCUACAUGUUUAAGUAAAGGUAAAUACAUAAUAUGCAUGCUAGAACCACUACCUUCGGGAAAUAAAAACGAGCCAAUUAACAGCAUAAUGUAACACCUAGUUUUUAUUAUUCGAGCAUCUUCGGUAGAAUGCUCAUUUAAGUAUAAACUAUUAUAGUACGACUUAAGGCGUGAAAGUAGUAUACCUUAACCUCUUGCAUUAUCAUCUAACAAAUCAGUCUCCAAGAGAUCCAUGCAAAUUCAAUUCGCAUAGUUGGUUUUACCAUUAACAACCUUACCUUCAAUGGGUAUUCCCAAAAGCAUGUAGACGUCUUCUAACGUCACGGUACACUCAUCGGUUGGGAACCAAAAUGUGUAUGUCUCUGGUCUCCAUAUUUCGCAUAAAGCUAGAAUGAAUUUGUUAUCUAUGGACCAAGACAAAAUCUUGCUUAUAUGACCAAAACCGACGAGUUCAACAUAAGGUUGAAUCAUCGGGUCCAUAUGGACAUAUUCGUGGACCCGAGUUCGGAACCUUGAUACAUCCUAUAAAAGAAAGAACAAAAAACUUGACUAAGUUGGUAUGUUAAAAUAAAAGGGGGUUGGUGAAGAUGAAAGAUAAAAAGUUAACAAAAGAAAAAACUUACAUAUGUUGUGAUGUUUGCAACCGUUCCUCUAUGUGAUUCGCCCAUUGUGAGGAUAGACAUUUUGUCGGGGGGUUGGUGUAGAUGAAACUACAAGAAGUUGUUGCAGAUGAAAUUGUAGAAGAAGUAUUGUAGAAGAAGUAGUGAGAGUGAUGGUGUGGAAGAAGUGUUGAUGGAGUGGAUGUAUUUAUAGGCAAAUGGAUGGGAGCAUGAAAAGUUGUGCUUGCAUGGUGUCUCCACUUGAAUUGGCGACCAUGUACAACCUUUAAGAGGGGUCGCCAUUCAAAUUGGCGCCUCCAUAGGGACAUGCAUGCAAGACCUAGGUCUGAUUGCUUGGUUUCGAGGUCUGAAUGCAUGCUUUGACAAGGUGUCUCCACUUGAAUUGGCGCCCAUGUGCAAGGAAUGAGUGGGGGCGCCAAUUCAUUUGGAGUGUGUGUCUGCAUGUCUGACACGUGGCUGUCCUCUCUCUUGCAUGCUGAACAUGUCACUUCUUAGUAGCUUGCAUGGUUGACACAUCAUUUCGGAGUAGCUUGCAUGUGCGACACGUCACUUCGGAGUAGCUUGCAUGUGCGACACGUCACUUCGAACUAGCUAGCAUGUGAGACACUUCACUCCUCUAUUUAAGUGUCUUACUAUCAACAUCCAAGACACUUCACUCACAUUCAUCUGCAGUAAGAAAAUAGUUUUCAUCUGCACAAUGUCAUCUUCAUCAUUAUACAGUGUCAACGUUCACUACAACGGUGAAACAUACGAGUCUGAGCUAUAUGGUUUUUGUUUUCGAAACACCGAUACCAUUAGACUCACGAUCAAGAGAAAUGCAACCUUCUUGCAUUUGAAAAAAAGAAUACAAUCCUGUAUAGGAUCGGGUAUUGUGUCAAAGAUCACAUAUCAAAAUCCAAUAUUUUUUUAGAAUAGUCAAUGCAAGUAUUUCCCCCUUAAGGUACGAGACGAUGAAGAUGUUGAAUACAUGUUUGUUAGUCAUGAACAUUCAGGCUGCAACUGUAUUGAGUUGUACAUUACUCUUCAACCAUGUAUACCAUCUCAACAGUCUCAACUAACCAGUCAGGAUGAAUCUGGUGAAUUUGAUCCAUAAUGGUCAGAUGACGUCAACCCAGAAGCAGAAGCAGAAGUGGACGUUGUUGAUAAAGACGAAGAGGAGACCGAGAUACAGGUUGAUCACAUGCUGAAUAACGACGAUGAAGAUGAUGAUCAACCACCACCAAUACCUCAUAGUCAGUUCUACAACCCGCCUCAACAUAUGACAAAUAUGGAUCUGCACGACGAUGAAACAUCCAACAGUGUUUUCUAUAAUUCGUAUCCGAGAUUAGAAGGCGAAUUAAAGGUGGGAGACAUGUUUCAUACCAAAGAAGAAUGUGUUCUGGCUAUCAAAAAAUUCCACAUGAAUAACUCUGCUGAUUUUACAGUGAAACACACUGACUCUAGAAGGUAUGUUAUCGAAUGUCGUAACAUGCUUUAUAAGUUUUGUUUGGCUGUGUCUUACAAGAAGAAAAUCGACUCUUGGGAGAUCGCUUCAAUAGACCCACCUCACAGUUGCAUUGCAACUAACGUUGAACAAGAUCACCAUAAACUAAGCACAACGUUGAUAUGUCAAGACAUUCUGCCGUUGGUUAAUAAAGACCCAUCAGUGAAGGUGAGUAUAAUUAUAUCCCAUAUCAGAACAACAUAUAAUUAUACUCCAUCUUACAAGAAANUAUGAGAUGUGGAACAAUUGCUCACACGACGCAUCUAUUUAUAACACAAAAAUUGUAUUUUAGGAGUAGUCUCCAAUUGAAUUUGCACAUCCUCUUAAACCCUACACAGGGGCGCCAAUUGGAUUGGCUAGGGCACCUGCCCUAGCCAAUCCAAUUGGCGCCUCCAUUCAAUUUUUAAGAGGAGUCUCCAAUUCAAUUGGCGACUCCUCCUAAAAAUGGGGUAGUUUGGGAAUUUUUUUGAAACCAGGAGUAUUUUGAGAAUUUCCUUAAAAAAAUGAAUUAUUUUUGUAAAAAUUUCAAUUAUUUACACACAUUUAAUCAAAUUACAUUAUAAUACAAUUUUUAUUUCUGAUAUAAAGUUAUAAAUAUUUUUAUGAUUAGAUAUAGUAGUUGGGGAUAGGAUGGUAAAAUGAUUAUAGAAGAAAAAAACAUUAUAACUAAGGAUAAUAUUUGCAGGGAAAUAUUAAAAAAACUAAUUAAUUAUUAAAAAAAUGUGAGAAUGGACUAGUAAGAACGAAAAGGACAGAAAAGUCGUAUUCAAAUACACGCACGUGACACGCGUGUGGCACUAGAGGCCAAGUAUAGAGGACGCGGUUUUUGGAUUCAAUUCAGCCACAGUUUUUAGCUUCACAUUCAUUGAUUGACUUGAGCCUGUGGGCGAAGACCAUAACGUGUUUAUAAUCAUGAGUCACGAUUUAGAUAGCAUAACAUCAUUCUUAUCCUUAUCCCUAAUCAUACAUUUUGCACACAAAUUUUUUACACGUCAUUUUUGUCCCUUUUCAUUAAGGUAUUCCCUACAUGUUACGGUCGGUGACUUAAGAUUUGUCUUUGUUGAUUUUGGAAACCAUGCUUUUCUUUUUGUCGUAAUGCGUGACACGCGCUUACAUUUUGUUUGUUUGUUUAGUCCAAGAGAAUAGAAAGAUAUUCUCUCCAAUUUUACUUUUGAAUUUUGUUAUUUUGUGCCCUAAGAAUAUAUAUUAGGGGGUAAUUAAUUAAUUAAUAAUAGUUAAUUUUAUCUAUUUUAUUUUGAAAUAUGGAAUAAUUAAUUAUUUAAAAUAUUAAAUUUAUAUUUAUUAAAAACGAUUAGGACAAAAUUGCCCUUUCAUUCAUAUUUAAUUUUACAUAUUUUUAAUUUGAAUUCAAUGAGAAGUUUAGAAUCAUUAAAGAUUAUAAAAGAUAAAUUUUUAUCUUAUUAUUUUAUUAUUUUUAAAUUAGUUUAAAAUUAUUUUUCUUUAAAUUACAAUAAUAUAUUACUGUAAGAGUUAUGUUGAAAUUCUUUUAAUAUAAAAUCAAAAUGCUUUAAAAGUUCAAUAAUGUAGGAAAAUAAACUACAAUUUCAAAUAUAUCAUUCAAAUACAACUUUUUUUUUAGAAAUGAUCCAAAUAAAAAAAAAGAUUAUUAAAUAAACUUGUGUUUUAAGGUUCAAUUGAUUCAACCGAUUAAAUCUACAGUCGAACCGUUUAUUAAAUAAACUAAUAAUAUAAAAAUAAAUUUCAUAAAUAUGUCACACAUAAUCAUAUAUUCACAACUUAAUAAAAUAAAUAUUUCAAAAAUUUAUUACAAAUUUAAUACAACAAUAUCGAUAAUACAUAUAAUAAUAUAACGUUUUACACUUUAUUUCAGCAUUCAUUUAAGAAUAAUUUGACAAAAUUAAAGAAUUACAAUAAAUAAAGUAAAACUAAUUCAAACCAAAAUUAAAAUAAUAGAGUAUAAUAACUAAAAUAAAGUUCAAAUAAUUAAGAAUAUCUAAAUUAAAUAAGAUAAAAUACAAAAAAUAAAUAAUCUAAUAUACUUCAUUAAACAACAACAAAAAAAUGAAUUUGAGUUUAACUAUGACAAAUAAAUAUUAAUUGACAACAACAAAGAAUAUUGACUUGAACGACAAUCAAUAUUGAGUUGGAUAUCGUGACUAUGUUUGAAAGGGACGGUGUGAUGAUGAUAAUGUGUAUGGUUAAAAGAAAAACUAUAAUGGAGUGACAAACCUUAGAAGUUCGUAUUCUUGUAAAAAAAUACAUCUUUUUUUUGUGAUUGGGAAAGUUGGCUAAAUUUUGAUAUUGACAUAUUAAAAUUUUUUAAAAAAUUAAAAAAUAAUCAAUUUGAUGCAUUAUUUUGAACCAGACAGUUUUACAAAACCGAUUCCGAUUCUUUGACUCAAAUGGUUUUGAACGGUUUAAUCCGUUUUUUUCGGUUUUAUUCCGGUUUUGAUCCACUAGCAGUUUUAAAAGAUUGACCCAGCCAGAUUCAUCUUCGAUUCCCGGUCCAACCUGUUGAACCGACCAGUUCGGUUUUUAAAAUAUUGUAUAUAUCAUCAAUUUCUUCAUAUUAUAAAAAUAAAAACAAAAAGAAAAUUUAGUUAACAAAUUAAAAAUAUAAGAAAACAUAAAAAAUAAAUAUAAAAAUUAUAAAAAUAGAAAUAUGUACCUAAAUUUUUGGUAGAAGAACUGAAUUUGAAUUUGCAUCUUGACAAAUUUUCUUCUUCUUGUUUGUAGUGUGAGCAAAAAAUUGAAUAUUUUCAUUUAGAGGACAUGUUGCAAUAUUAUGUCUUACGUCUUUGUAUAAUCUAUAAGUAUUCAUGGUAUGUGAAAGCUCUUUUUCACCUUUAAGACAUCUUCGUGUAGGACGACCUUUUGUUUUGGAAAUCGAAGGGUAUUAAACAAUAUCAUUCGCACGAGCUUCAUUAUUGUAACAUAUUAUUUGAUCCUCAAACACAACAUUGAUUGGUUGAGGAUUUACUUCCUCAUCCCCAUGUGAUAAUUGAAGUCGCCAUCGUGAUGGCAAGUAAUUAGAAGGGAUUUCAUGACAAUCUUUAUGAAGAAAAAUAUUGAGAAUGUGUCGAUAUAAUACCCAAAAGCUCAAAGUGCUUACAGCUACAUGUAGCUAUUUUACCAUCCCAAAAGAUCAUGUGUUUUCUACUAUUAGCAUCUUUAUAAUACCGCAACACAAACACAUUAACAUUUUCAAUUGAAUAUUGAGUGGACAUUUCAAACUUCUCUUGAAACUUUUUAAAAGCAAAAUAUGUGAGAAGACUAUGAGUUUGCUCUUGCAAAGGUGAUAUUAGUUUCAUGUUCAAUCUUUUGCAUUUUUCUAACAUUAUAUCAUGCUUUUAUUUUUGCUUAAUAUCAUUGAUUGCUAAAUCAACCUGAAAUUAAUUUAAAUUAAUCAAAACAUAAUUGUAUAAGAUUAUGGCAAUGAUGAUAUUUUAAAAAUCAGAACAUAGCUACUUUGUAAAAUCACUAAAACUUGUAUGGGAAUUUAUCAAUCCAUGUGGUUGUAAUUCCACCAAAGAAAUAGUCACGAAGAUAAGUGAGUGCCAAAUAACUUUUAAUUUCAUAAAAGCCUCUCACAUGUUUAUUUGAUUGCAAGUUAUACUUAGCAAUAACUUUUGGUCAUUGAUGCUCAUAUUCUUCAUGUGUCUCCAACUUAUACAAGCCAUAAAAACCAGAACACCAUUUUAGAUAUUUGUCUCGGAGUAUAACAUUAAACAACAACUAAACUUGAAAGUGAUGUUCCAUAUGUAAAAAUAAUGUUUUGUUGAUGGAAACUCUUUUGAAAUUUCUUCUUUCAUUAAUGGAUCUUGAUCUGUUAAUAUAGUCUUCGGUGACUUCUUCAUCAAAGAUAUAAAAGUCUAUAAAAAAAUUAUGUAAUUAAAAAAAAUGAUACAAUAACAAAUGAUAUAAGAAAAAUCAUGAAAUUAAGCUUAUAAGUUACCUUCAUCAACCAACAAAAUGCAUAAGUUUUUUCAUUUGGUAAGAGUGCACAUCCAAAAAGUAUAGUCUUUCCAUGACCAUUCAUACCCACAAAAAUUCCAAAUGGCAUUUCAUAAGAAUUUACCUUGCAUGUAGUAUCAAACACAACAAUGUCGUCAUAUUCUUGAUACCAAUCAAAACAAUAAGCAUGAGACUAAAAUAUAUGCUCUAACCUUCUUUCUUCAUCAAGUGUAUAUGCAUACUGAAAUUUAGAAUAACUCUUUUUGGCAUCCUCACAAUACUUAAGAAGAUCAACAACAUCAGUUAUUUCAAUUUUUUUCUUGGUUUUCAAAAACAGAUUGCGAACAUCCUUUUCAAUAAAUGGAAGAUAACCAUGCUCCACAUUUUUUUAGCUCUAUAAAACACAUUAAUUGUUUAACUUAAAGCGCACCUUGCUUUAACAAGAACAUUCGUUCAGAAUAAUCAUCUGAGAUAAUUCGGUUAACUAGUAAGAACCACACUUCUGAUUGAGUUAGCAAAGUAUGAUUAUGUUCAACAACAAAUGUUAUAACUCACCACUCACUUGGAAACAUAUCAUGAGUUUUUUGCAAAGAAAAUCGCAAAUGAGCUUUACAUUCUGUAGCGGGGUUUUCGUUACCUUUAGGUUUAUUGACUAAACCAAAAGUCAACAUACAAUUCGAGUCGCCACCGCACUUUUAUUUGUCCAAAGGAAAGGCUAAAAAGCGAACAAAAGCCAAGGUUUAUUGACUAAACCAAAAGUCAACAUACAAUUCGAGUCGCCACCGCACUUUUAUUUGUCCAAAGGAAAGGCUAAAAAGCGAACAAAAGCCAAGGUAAGAAGUUUUUCAAAUAAAAAACUAAUAAAAAAUGUCAGAGAUCUGGGUAAGGGGGUUGGUUAUGAAAUGGGAAGGUUUUACGCACCCAAAAUAUCCUUAGUACUCUAAGGGAACCCUUUUUGCAAAUACGUGUUGUAGGUUGGUAUUUGUGAAAAUAUUUGUACAAAGGAUUGGGGAGAUGAGAAGAGAAUAUAUUAUUUACAAAUUUGUUGUUUGAAUGGAUGAACCCAUUGCCUACGUACCAUCCCAAAGGUAGGAUAAAAACCUCGUAGUUCGGGGUAAAAAUCUCAAAGAUUGGUGAAUUGAUUUGAUCAAAAGCCUUAAGGUAUUUUGUUAUCAAAGAGAGAAAACUCAACCUAAACCAACAAUCCAUCAUGUGAGGAAGGCUUUAACAUACUAGUGAGGGGUUAACCCUAUAAUAAGCAUGGAAGGCUUAUAAUCCAAUCACUAAGGAUGAGGUGAGAUUUACAUCAACCACUAUGAUAAUUCAAACCUAUGACUAAUGUUUUUGAAAAGAUUUUAAUAAGGUGGCCAUUGGAACCACAAAAUCAACUUGAAGUGAGUUAUAUUUACAAGUUAGGUUUAUUUACAAAAUAAAGUCAAAGUUGGACUAAGAUUUAUUCACAAUGAGUAUUGAUGAAAAUGGUUUUGAAAAGUCGAAGGCUUAAGGCCUAUGUUUCUAAUUUGAAACAAAGUCAAAGUUUAGAAAAUAAUUUUUGGCUUGGUUAGAGUGGGGAGAAGAAGAGAAGGGCUAGCCCUAAAGCAUACAAAGAUAAGAGAGGAAAGAUAAACCCUUGGAGUUCCUUUUCUUGAAGUCAUAGAGAUGACUCAAGAUGCUCCUUUCCUUUGGACUUAGCACACAAACAAGCAAUCAUACAAUUUGAAAUCAAGCUCCUAGGAUCUCCAUUUGGCUUGUCUCUUAACUUGGCUACUCAUGACAAUGGUCCUCUUUUCACAAUCUCAAGGUGGGAUCCCUAUCACACAAAAGCAAACAUCAAAAAGUUCAUAACACAAUAAGAGGAAUGGACAAAGAAUAAGUUUGGAUGAGAAGUUCUUUGAAGUCAACUUUGAAUUUUAGCAUUCUAAAGGCAUGAGGCCUAGUUGCUCUUCAACAAAUUUAGCAUUCUAAAGGCAUGAGGCCUAGUUUCUCUUGAACUCCUUUAUGCAUAGGUUAAUCCUAAUUCUAAGUCCUUUCUCCUUUUUGCAAUUGGUUUACACAAAACAAACACAAAACAAACACAAGAUAGCAAUAUAUUUAUAUACAAAUAAUGAGCUUAAAUGAGCAAAAGAAAAAUGACAUAAACAUAAAAUAUAUGCUCAAGUGAGCAAAUGAAAAGCAAUAUGAACAAAUGAGCAAGAAAUAAAUGACAUUAAAAGUAAAUGACAAGAAAUUAAAUGCUUCAAAUUAAAGUUAGUAGUUAGUGAAGUUAUGUUAGCUCGUCAUAAGAUAGUGUAUCGCUAUGUUAAGCAAUCAUAAGUGGAUUAAUGUAGUAGUCACACCUAUCUGAGGCUGGUCAAUAAAAAUAUAGGCAAAGAACACAAGUUAGAGAUCAUGACUAGUAAGCCAAGCUCCAUAAACUUGCCAUGCCAAAACAAAAGGGGAAGGACCUUGUAUUGUCUUUAGGUUAUUUGCUUGACCAAGAAGCAACCUAUCUUGGACACAAAAUAACUCACUUGAUCAUGGAUCAAGUUGAGUUUGGUUUGGAUCAAAGAAGGUUAAACCUCUCAUUUGUCUCUUUAGGUUAUUUGCUUGACCAAGAAGCAACCUAUCUUGGACACAAAAUAACUCACUUGAUCAUGGAUCAAGUUGAGUUUGGUUUGGAUCAAAGAAGGUUAAACCUCUCAUUUGUCAAGACCAACCAGAAGAACUUAACUCACUGGCCAUUGAUGGGAAGAAUGGGAUGAAGAUGAAAGGGAGGGAAAAAGAAGACAAGUAUCAAAUCCAAUUGAUCAAAUAUGGACCAAACCAACAUCAAUCAACACCAAACAGAAAAGAAAUGAAGAUAACAAGUCAACAAGUCAACGAUAUUUUUUUGAUAUUUUUUUGAAUUAAAAUAAAAGGCAAAUAAAAAAUAAUCAAAUAAGGUCAAAUCUCAAAUUCAAUUCAAAUCAACUUCAACAAGUCCAAUUAAAUUCUCAUAGGUCUAACAUGGUCAAACAAACUUUGACUAAUUUUCUCACCAAUUUUUGAAAUCAGAAAGCAAUUAAAAACAAUUAAAAACAAUUAAAAACAAUUAAAAACACUAGAAAAUAACACAAUAUGAACUAAAAUCUCAAAUAAAUCUCAAAUCAAAUAAGAAAUUGAUGAGACUAUUUUUCAUUGACUUAUCAUGAUCCAUAGGUGCUAGGAAAAUAUUUUUGGAUUUUUCAAGAGUCAGAAAGUAUUUUAAAAUGAAUUAAAACUAUUAAAAACCAAAUAAUUCACAAAAAAUAUUAAAUAAAGUCACAAAAAUAAUUAAAAAUCAAAAUAUGAAACUAGACUUUUCAAGAAUUUUUUUGGAAUUGGUCCCAUAUUUUUAUGACUUCAAAUAAUUUUUUUAUGAAUUUUUGAAAAUAAAAGGAAUAAACUGAAAUUAAAAGAAAAUAGAAAUAAUGGAAAAAACCACAACCGUGUGAUACAAUUCAUUAAUUGAUGUGGCAGCCAAGAACGGUCCAGAUGUGAGGGCGCAGGGUGUGUUCGAGUCAAAUGCGCAACAUCAUGAAUUAAAUAAAGUAAGCGCAAUGAAAGACCAAGAUUAGAUCCUGAACUCAUGAUCCAAAGGCCAAGAAUGACACACGUGGUGAUGGUGGUGGAAACCACCAUCUUCUCCGGUGAACUAACAAUCUCCGGCCACCAGUUGUAGAGAAAAAGAGUUUAACAAAAAUGAAAAGUAAGGACAUGAAAUUGAAGCUCGUGUGAUGGAGAUCACCACUGUAUCCAUGGAUCUUCCUCACUCUUCCUAUAUUGAGAGAAAUGUGAAGUGGAAGAUCAUGGUGUACCAACUGUAAAUGCACGAAAUGGAAAAUUGAAACUGUAUCCAUGGAUCUUCCUCACUCUUCCUAUAUUGAGAGAAAUGUGAAGUGGAAGAUCAUGGUGUACCAACUGUAAAUGCACGAAAUGGAAAAUUGAAACCACCAUUGGCUUGCCUCAAGUGUGAGGAAUUCAGAAAACCACACAAACAAGAGAAAGCUACAUUGAAUUGCAAGUUCUAGAUCCAAAAAGUUUGAAGGUAUACCUCUGAACUGAAGCUCUUUAAGCCACGAAACCUUCAAGAUCUUGGCUCCUCUUUGCUCUAGGGAUGCAGUGGAGGUGAUAAGCUAAGGAAUUGAGCUUUGAAAAUCAACUAAUGAUGUUGAAUUUCAAGCUUGAAAGUGAGAAGAAUUUCUGGAAAAUUCCUUUGGUAUGACUAUGGUUUCAAUGCUGCAGCGUUUCAAAUCUCCAAAAGGUUGAUGAAUGAAUGAGAGGGAGCUGUUAUUUAUAGUUGAAAUUGGCUGCGCAUCAUGCUUCCCUCGUGUGCAUGGCAUUUGAAGUUGGAUAUGCAUGGGCCUGGACAGGCACAUGUGAGGCCCAAUGAUGGGUGCAAAACCAUGCUGAGUUCAUUUGGAAUGGAUUUGGACGUGUAUAUGAAGUGGAAUCAGCUUGCAUACCAAGUUAUAACAUGAAAUGCCAAAAUGCACAUAAAUGAAAAGCUCUUCGAAACUCCCAAAUGUUAAGUCAAAAAAAGUAACGUGAGUAAUGGUUGGAAAGCCCUUGAAAUAAGGAACAAAAGUCAUGUUGGGCAAAAAUUCAUUUGGCAUUUGGAAAUUAAUGAAAAAUGGUUGUGAAAAUUUAGGUACAAAACAUGUAUAAGUCACCUUUGAAAAUUUUCACCAUAAGCAAGCCUAUUCAAACCCCUCUGCUUCCAUGAUGAAAGCUUCAAAUGGAAAAACCUCUAACAUAAAAGUUGUAUAUAACUUCAAGAUGAUCAAUUUAGACUCAAAUUUUGCAUCAUUUGGAUUUUCUAUGACAAAGUUAUGGGCAUUUGAAGUUGGGUACUUUUUCAAAUUCAAUGAAUUAGGUCCAAGAUGACCUAUAAUGUUUUGUAGUAUCACAUGUAUUUAUUUUAUGAUUAUGAAAUUUUGUCUAACAUAAUAUUUGAAGUAGAUCUCAAGAUUUCCAAUGCAUUUUGUAUCACCUAAAAAUAAUAAAAAUUAAGGAAGUUAUGUCCUUGGUAAGUUGACCCAAAAUUAGGGUUUCAGUCAAAAUGACCUAUAAUGUUUUGAAAUGAAUGAUGACCUUAAAUGUUUCAAAUGUAUUUUUGAUGAACAUGAUAGUUGUUCAUAUGGUUCUUAAGAAUAUUUUUUAUCUUGGGGUAAUCUUCAUUUUACAAAUACAUCAAAAGUUAUAUCUCAAUGGUGCUCAGCUUAGUCAGAUGACUUGACUGGUGAACUUCUCAAGACCAAACUUCCAAUCUUGAUGAAUAAAUGAUUGAGGAUGCUCAAAUAGGAUCAUAUAUGCAUAAAAUGAUGAAUGAAAGGACUUCCCUUGAUUAAAUUUGAUCAUAGGUUGAGGUUGCUUCAUGGGCAAGGCAUAGUCAAAGCACAGUUGAAUUAGGGCUUCCUUGGGAAACAAUCCUCAAGCCCUUUGGGUUAUCUUUAUCAAAUUGGAAAAUUUAGAUACUUAGGAGACAUAUAUGAUGAUUAGGAUCUUUGUGGACCAUUUUCAUGCUUUUUCUCAUCUUCAUCUAGCCAUUGCAUUGGGCUUAGGAGCCUCCUAUGAGCAUUGGAGCACAUGAUCACUUGAGCUUCAAAACAAAAAGAGUUAGUGACAUAUUUUUUGUGCUUUUGGUUAGUAAACAAAAUAAGAAAAUAAAUAAUAUACAAUACAAACAUGCUUGGUGGUCUCAAACCACUCAUACAAGUCCCAACCCUAGGGUUAAGGAGCAAAACAUGCUAUGAUCCUUGAGGCAAUGCACUUGUGUAAUAACAUGAUGCAAUGAGGGAUCUUAGGGUCAAAAUUAGGGUCUUACAACAUUCACAACUAAUUGAUUCUCUAUUUCUUUGUUCUUUCGAUGAUUAUAUAAUUUUCAAGGAAGUCCUACCUCCACGAUGACAAAAGAAAUCACACCUACUCACAAUUCUAUUUUGUUUGAUGAAUCUACCUAUUCGAACUGAGAAUCUGUAUUGAUAUGCAUAUCUCUUAUAAAAAUAUGCUUCUUCACUAAGAAAAAUUUGACCAAUAAAAGGAACAAUAUUUGACUCCUUAAAAGUGUCACCCUCACCACUUUCUUGUAAAAAUCCAUUUAUCUCAAUAUUUUGACUAGAAAUCACAAUAUUUUCUUUCUCAAAAUUUCCAAUUUCUUCAACUUCGUCUAUAAUAUUACAACCAACAAUAAUUUCAGAAGAACCAUUUUUUGAAGAAACUUCUUCUACUGAAUAUUCAAUAUUCAAACAUAAAUCCAAAUUUAUUCUAUUAUUGUUCACACUUUCCAUUUUGUAUUUAUCUUCCAAAAAUAAAAAGAACGAAAAAGAUUAUCCACCCGACUAUAAAAAGUUAUUUUAAAAAAAUUGGAAUCGUAAAAUAACAUACAAAAGAUAAAAAGAUAAAUGACAUACCUGAGUAAGGAAAGUUCUUAAAUUGUCAUACUUGAGAAGAUUUCAGUUUUAACAAAGUAUUUUUAAGGAAGUGUGAAAUUUUUUCUAUGAAAAAGGAUUUUGCUAUCUUGUGCCCCAAGGGCACAUAAGGGCACAUGUUAAAUGAUAAGUAAUGAUAGUUAAUUUCAUCUACUUUAUUUUGAAAUAUGUAAUAACUAAUUAUAGUAAUUAAAACAUUAAAAAUUAUAUUUAUUAAAAAUGACUAGGACAAAACUACCCGUUCAUUCCUAUUUAAUUUUUUAUAUUUUCAAUUUAUAUUUAAUGAGAAUGUUUAGAAUAAUUAAAGAUUACUGAAGACAAUUUUUUUUCUUUCUAUUUUUAAAUUAUCUUAAAAUUGAUUUCCUUUAAAUUACAAUAAUAUAUUGCUACAAGAGUUAUGCCGAAGGUUUUUUAAUUAUAAAAUUAAAAUGCUUUAAAAGUACUAGCAAAAUAAAUUACAAUUCCAAAUAUAUCAUUUAAAUAUAAUUUUUUUAGAAAUCACAUGAGGACGAGGAAGUGAAUCCUUAACCAAUCAAUGUUGUAUGUCUUAAAGGUGGAAAAAAGUUUUCACAUACAAUAAAUACUUGUGGAUUACGCUGUAGGACAUAGUAUUGCAACAUGUCUUCUAAAAAAAAAUAUUCAAUUUUUUACACACACUAAAAAUAAGAAGAAGAAAAUUUGUCAAGAUGCAAAUUUAAAUUCAGUUCUUCUAUCAAAAAUUUAGGUACAUAUUUUUUAUUUUUAUAAUUUUUAUAUUUAUUUUUUAUAUUUUUAAUAUGUUAACUAAAAUUACAUAAUUUUUGUUUUUAUUUUUAUAACAGGAAGAAAUUGAUGAUAUAUGAAUGAAGUAAAUCCUUAACCUAUCGAUGUUGUCUUUGAGGACCAAAUAAUAUGAUACAACAAUGAAGCUCAUGUGAAUGAUAUUGUUCAACGCCCUUCGAUUUCAAAUACCAUGAAUACUUGUGGAUUAUUGCAAUAUGUCCUCUAUAAGAAUGCAAAUUUAAAUCUAGUACUUAUACCAAAAAUUUAGGUACAUAUUUUUUAUUUUUAUAAUUUUUAUAUAUUUUUUUUUGAUUUUUUAUAAUUUUAAUAUGUUAACUAAAAUUAUAUUUUUAAUGAUUCUAAAUAUUCUCAUUAAAUAGAAAAUAAAAUAAAAGUUUCUCUUCCAUAAUCUUUAAUGAUUCUAAACAUUCUCAUUAAACUCAAAUUGAAAAUAUAAAAAAUUGAAUACGAAUGAAAGGGUAAUUUUGUCCUAAUCAUUUUUAAUAAAUAUAAAUUUUAAUGUUUUAAUUACUGUAAUUAAUUAUUACAUAUUUCAAAAUAAAAUCCCCGUUACAAAAAUAAAAACAAAAAAAAUAUGUAAUUUUAGUUAACAUAUUAAAAAUAUAACAAAUAAAUAUAAAAAUUAUAAAUAAAAAAAAUAUGUACCUAAAUUUUUGGUAGAAGAACUGAAUUUAAAUUUGUAUUUUAACCAAUUUUCUUCUUGUUUUGAGUGUGAGCAGAAAAUUAAAUAUUUUCUUUUAGAGGACAUGUUGCAAUAUUAUGUCCUACAACAUAAUUCACAGGUAUUCAUUGUAUGUGAAAGCUCUUUCCACUUUAAGACUCUUUUCCACUUUAAGACGUACAACAUUGAUUAGUUGAUGAUUUACUUCCUCAUCCUCAUGUGAUACUUGAAGUUGCCAUCGUGAUGACAAGUAAUGAGAAGGGAUUUCAUGACAAUCUUUAUGAAGAAAAAUACUUAGAAUGUGUCGAUAUAAUAUCCCCUAAAUUUUUUGAAAAGCAAAACCUGUGAGAAGACUAAGAACUUGAUCUUGCAAAUGUGAUAUCAACUUCAUAUUCAAUCUUUUGCAUUUUUCUAACAUUAUAUUCUGCUAUUCUUUUUGUUUAAUAUCAUUGAUUGCUAAAUCAACCUGAAAUUAAUUUAAAUUAAUCAAAACAUAAUUGUAUAAUAUUAUAACAAUGAUGAUAUUUUAGAAAUCAGAACAUGCCUAGUUUGACUAUGAAAAGUUAUUUAAAAAGAAUUGGAAUCAUAAAAUAACAUAAAAAAGAUAAAAAGAUAUAUGACAUACCUGACUAAGUAAAAAAAAUCUUAAAUUGCCAUACUUGAGAAUAUUUCAAUUUUAACAAAGUGUUUUUAAGGAACCGAUUUUUUUUUUUGUGUGAAAAGAAAAAUAAUGUUGGAAUGCAGGAAGCAUGGAAUAUUUGAGAAGAUAAAAAGUUUAUGUGAAAUAUUAGAUGUGAGGAUACUUUGUCAUAUUUUUUAGUAAACAUGUUUAACAUGUAAUAAUUACUGUAUUUAAUUAUUACAUGUUCGAAAAUAAUAUAGGUGAGACCAUUAAUCAUUUAUUCUUUCUUGACUUGUGCCCUAACGACACAAGAUAACACUGUCCUUUACUUAUAAAAAGAAGAAAAAAAUUAAUUCACAAUUUCAUGAAAAUAAAAUAUACAUACGUAUAGUUUGAGCAUCAACUAUAAUAAAAAAAAAACUAACUUUAUUAAAUAAUUGAUAUACUUGAACACAUCAAUAUUAGAUAUUGAAAGCCUACAUAUUUGUGAUGAUGUGGCUUCAUUAAUCAAUCGAAGCGUAUGUCAGUAAAAACUUUAAGAUUAUUAAUCUUUAUUAAUCUUUAUCCAUCUUCAUCACAUUCUUCAACAUAUUCAUCCUCAUUUUCAUGUUUUUUAUUAUUCUUCAAAGUGUUUAUCAGAAUUUUUUUUAUUAGUUAUAUUUUGCAAAAUAAUAUGAAGUGUAUAAAAUAUUUUGGUGAAAAAGAGAAUACAUGUGGGACACGAUGGUUUAGCAUGUGUAUAACAUCUAGCAUUUGUCAGUUGACCAUUGUUAUUGUUAUGAGCAAAAAAUUUAGUUUUAUUUCAAUCAAAUUUGUUACUUUUUAGCAAUAUGUUAAUUAAAUUUAUUUGACAUAUUGAAUAAGAUCAAAUCUUAUUAUUUAGAUAUUUAAAUUUAAAUCAAAACAAAUCAAAUCUUUUUGUUGGAGUUUUUUGAAAAACAAAUCAAAAUAGAAUAGUCUACAAAUUUGAGCAUGAUCAAUUCUUAAGCUUAUUGAAGAAAACCCCAAAAGUUGCAUUGCUAUUUAAGGAGACUCAAACCUAACGUUUGAGGUGUGCGCAAGAGUUGAAGAUACUACUGUUAGAGUUUCUAUUUUGAGUCUUUUGUUUGAGUUAUUGUUUGUGCAUCAAUCUAGUGUAUUCAUUCAUAUCUAAAGGCAUAGAGUUUGGUCUGAUAGUUCAGUUAUAAUUCAAACAAUAAGUAUUCUGAUUAUUGUAUUGAUUACUAGGGUUAGUGAUUGAGAGAAAGUGGUAGUGGUCUCAUAUUUCAGGGGAGUCCUAAAUAGAAAUACACUGGUAGAAUUAAGAAGGGGGCAUUGAAGAAUGAUUGUUCAUCUAAGACACUUUGUACUAAUUUUAUUGAGAGUUGAUUUUCUUUCUUGGCUUGGAAGCCCCAGACAUAGGUGACGUUACAAUGAACUGGGUUAACAAUUAUCUUGUGUUCUUUACUUGCUUUAUAAUUUAUCAUUUUAUUUUAUAUUAGCUGUCAAACUUGGUAUAAGAUGUUGAACACAUUGACUUAGACACCUUGUCCAACAUUUGUCCCUGCAUUGAACAAAAUUUCAGUAAUACAAAUUAAGAAUUAAAUCUUUAGUAACGUAUGAUUAGUCCUUUUUUAUACUGUGCUUAAAGAUUUUGAUUUUAAUUCUCAAUUUUAUAAUUAAAUUUAAACUAUUUUUCAUUCAACUAAGUUAUCUAUAUAUGUUAAUGGUAAGAAUGUUGAUUUCUUCAAGUGUCAAAGAGGUCUGAGGCAGGGUGAACCUCUUUCAAUUUUUUGUUUUGUAUAGCUAAGUAAAUUCUUAAUAGAGACAUAACUCAUUUGACUAAUACAUGUAAGUUUUAUCCCUAAAAAAUAGUGCUAGAAAUAUGUUUUUUCCUCUUAUGUUAUGUAUGUAGGUGACUUUAUGAUAUUUUGCAAAUGUAUUUUGUCAGAUGUUAAAAACCUCAAGAAUUUUUUCUGAUAAAUAUGGUUUAGCAUCUCACCAAAUCACCAAUCUUGUCAAAUUCACUAUUUAUUUUGGUAGCAAGUCUAGCAAAAGACAUAAUAUAUUGUCAAUCUUCUUGCUUGGCAUAAAAUUUGUAAACAUAGUGAUGAGGGUUAGGUCUAAGAUCCACUAAAAAUAUUAACAAAGUUGUCAUCCUUUAUUUGAUUUGGAACUACCUCAAUUUUGAUUUAACAUUAAGUUAUUUUGUUGAGAACUUAUACCAAAAGAGGAAGUGGUCACAUUAACUAUCAUAUUGACUCCUCAAUUCAGUAUUAUAUUAAAUCUCAUUUACAUAUUAUUCAGGAUAACUCUCAAUGACAAAUUGGUAAUGGUGACAAAAUUAAUUUCUAGAUUGACUCGUGGAUUAAUGAACCUCUAGUGAACAUUCCUCAAAUUGAUCCUCAUAUUAGCUUGAAGCCCCAGGUUAAACAUUUAACUCUUGACAAUCAUUAGUGUAUCUCUCUUGAUAUAAAUCAAACUUUUCCUAAUUUGAAUAACUUGUGCAAUGUCCAUAUCCUUAAGUAUGAUAAUUAUGAUUAUUUGCUAUGACUCCUUCUAAGUUUGACACUCUCAUAUUCAAGGAAUCUUAUCUACACUUUGCUUCUCCUGGACAAAAAUUUCAAUGGGCUAAACAUAAAUGACAUCAACAUAUUCUUCUUUCAAAACCUCUUGUGCUUGGAAGUUUUUUUAGAAUGUGUUUGCAUACUGAUGAAAAUAUUAUGGCAAGAGGUUGUAACUUUCCUUAAAAAAUGUGAUUUAUAUGGUAUUAACUCUGAUGCUAGUUAUCAUAUUUUUAUUGAUUGCAAGUUUGCUAGACAGGUGUGUCAUUGGUUUGGUUCUAUUUUGCAAAUGCAAGUCAUUUAUGAUAUUAAUAACAUUAUUAAUGUAUGUAACUAUGGUUGGUAUUAACAAUGUAAAGAGGUUGUGCUUGUUGGCAUCAUUAAUAUUAUUGAUACCAUUUGGUAUUGUUGGAAUCAGACUCAUUUUAAUGAUAAGAGGAUCAAGUUCCAAACAAUCAUGAAUCAUAUUCGUGUUAGCGUUGAUAUCACCGACAAUGGCACUAGGGCAUCUGCUUUGAUUUAUAUACACGAAUUUUGAAUCCCAAAAAUCUUUUGUAUAAAGGUUCACCCUUCUAAAGCUCCAAUGAUCAAAUAAGUGUAUUGACACACUCUUAGGCAUAUUGAAGUAAUUUUAAUACUAAUGGUGUUGUUCUUGGUAGCCUAAGGGUGGUUGCGUAUGAUGGUAUAUUUUGUUGUAGCUCUCCAACCAGUCUUGGUUGUUUUGUUAAGCAUUUCAGUAUUACUUAUGCUUUUCAUGCAUAAAUUUUUAUGUGUGAUGACAACCAUUGAACUUUCUUAUACAAAAGAUUGAGAUUUGUUGUGGUUAGAGACUGAUUCUCUAAAGAUUACUCUUGCUUUAAAAAAUUCUUCCAUGAUUUCCCUAGGUAACUAAGAACUAUAUGGAUAAAUUGUGUUGAACUUACUAAGAAGAUGACUUUCAUUAUUUCUCACACUUAUCGUGAAUGAAAUCAAUUUGUUGAUGGUAUUGCUAAUAUUAGUUUGCAUAUUUAGGAUAACUAAUAAUGGGAUACUAUCUCUACUAGCAUUUUUCAUGUUUUUUUUUUCUUCCUUUUUGGAAAUAUAUAUGCUUUUCUUGAGUAUUUAUUUUGUUUUAGUCUUUUAUAGGAGUACCACACUCUUUUUCCCUUCACCUAUUUUUCCUUAAUGGUUUAUAGGUAAAAGUGUUUAAUGAGGUAGUUGGCUUAUUUUAUAUCAACUCCUACAUUAGUUUUGACCUAGUCCCUCAAAUCCUUUGUACAUUUCCCCCCUAAAUUUUAAAGAUAUUAGAAGGUAGCAUAUUUUUAAAGAUGAGUUAAAAGAGUGUCAACAUAGCGGGGAUGCCUUUGAUUCUAUUAAUUUCCAUAUUCUUUUGGUUUUUAAAAAUUCAAUAUUUAGUCAACAUUCAUUCACAUCAUCUUCAUUAAAAAAGGAUAUAAAAAAUCCACUAUUGCAUAUUUUAAAUAACACUUUUUAAUUUUUAUUGCAUAAGUGACAUGAUACAUGGAUUAAUGAAGCCACAUUACAUAUAGGUAAGCAACUUGUAACCAUGUUGUUUGUCUAAUCAUAAGAUAUUUUAUAGUUGGAUCAAACUUGCAAAUGAUGAAUAUAUAGAGAAUAUUUUUUGAACUAAGAUUGUUUUGAAGAACAAUACUUUAAACUAGUUUUGAUGAUAACAUAAUGUAAGAUAAUAAUUUUCUUGUCUAAUGCUUAUUAUUUGUGUAGAUCACUUAUAAUAAGAUUCUUUGUAAUCUAUAUCAGGAAAGAGUAAAAAGUAAUUUACAAAUGAUCCUCUAGUCUAAAUGAGUCUGAAACAUUCCAUUUAAUAAGUGAUUAUAAGCAUCUUAGUAUUUUAUUAUUGAAUAGUGACUCACUUUGAUACAUGCUGGUAUAAAUUAUCAAUACUAUCACCCAAAGAUAAGUACUCAAACUCUAUUAGGUUCUAAAACCAACUCCAAGAUUUGAUGAGAGCAUAUUUGAUCUUUUGGUAGAUGAUCAAGUUGUUACCCUUCUUAAGUUUAUUCCUCUAGUAACCAUUAGCAAGGCAUAUGCUCAAAAAGAAUAACUUAUUUGUUUCUCUUUCAAACAUUCAAAUUGAAAAACAACUAAGAAAUAUUACAUAAGGUACACCUUAAUAUGUGAUAAGACUUGAUACAUGUGUUAUGGACAUGAAAUAGCCUACUACAACUACAAGACUUCAAUGUCUUCUUUACUUGAAGAAUGUCAUCCAAUAGUCAUAUGAAAAGAAGUUAUGAAAAGUCUCAACUUCUCAUUAUUUAUUAUCUAUCUGGUUUAGAGUCUUUACGUAGAUGUGAACAGAUUUAGAUUUGACUAAUUUUUGGGAAUUUGUAAGAUGCUCAAAGUCAUGUAUAACAUCAAGGGGUUGGUGGUACCUAUAAACACCCUCCCACCCAAGCCAAUGAUUAUUGGAAGUGAAAUGUAUUUUUUGGUUAGAAAAAGUGUGUACCUGGAUUUGAUGUAUUUUAUUUCCUUUUAUAACCAUGUUAUAGGACUUUAGGGAACUAGAGCCUUCUUGUGAAAAUUAGUUGUCUAAAGGCACAUUUUCAAAAUACUACUUAUUAUGUCAUAUGACGGUCAUCCUUGAAUAAUUUUUCCUUAUCAGGCAUUUCACCAAGGUAGAUGUAUGCUUGUUAUUAAGAUCCUAAAACCUUAUUUAGGGCCAUAGCUGCAGAAAUGAUGCCUUUAUUCUGACAUCAUGAGUUUGACAUCACAUCAACAAUAUUGUUAUUGAUCAAAUAAUUAUUCGUCAUUGUAAAGCGAUAAGGGAGAUGAAGUUGGAUGUUAUCCAUCAUGGACCAUCGCCUAUGUUAGGUUGUUCGAUACACCCGCCAACCCAAGAGAGAACUAUUACCCCCAAAGUUUGGUCCGACAUAGUCAGGGUAUGGCUUUCAAUCUAGGAUGUCCUUCUCGACAACCACUCAGUAUUCAUACUCAUAGGUUUUUGGUAGAUAUCAUAAUAUAUCUUGUCGAUCUUGAUCUUUGGUAUUUUUUCUUUUCUAUGUUAUUGCUUGAUGGGACCCUUAUGGUAUUCUUUCCUUUAUUCUCUACAUAUAUUCUUUGUAAUGCAUGGUAUUGUUUCAAGCUAUCAUGACAAGCUCUCCCCAGCCAUCGCGCCUGUCAUGCCAAUACCAGCAGCACCCGUCAGUAAAACCGUCAGGAAGAAUGUGGGAGGAAGGCUUGAGAAGGGCGAUGGUUGGUCUGUCAACUGCAAGACGAUCAUCAUGGUCACAUAUGCAAUGCAACCUAACGCCCAUCAUGACGCUGUAACUUAGAAUUUUCGCGCACGACUCAACAGGCAAUUUCUCAUCUCCACCACUCUCUCCACUUUUUUAGCAUGUUUUUGAUAACAUCCAGUUUGAAUUUCAGCCUAUAAAUAGGCCCUUAGAAAUCAUUUUUAGAGAUCUAAGCUUUGUCAUAGUCAGAAAUUCACUUGUAAAAGCAUUUACAUCUUGCAUUAUGGUAUUCUUACAACCAUAGUUUUAGGUUCUUGGAGUAUUUUUUUCCUGAAAAAUUGUUGUUGUUGUUGUCUUUUAUUAUUGUGGUUGCUGAAUUUAUUGUUGGUGUUAACUAUGUUGUUGUUGCUUUUAAAUCUAAACCAGAAUUAAAGUAUCUGAUCAAAGCAUUUUAUGUUAUUCAAGUAUUGUUUACUAUUUCAGGUUUCAAUUUCUUCUAUUUCACUUUACUGUUUUUUGCCUUAUUUAAUUUCAUGUAUCAUGUUUACUGCCGUUAAUAAAACAUGUUUUGUUUUUACCGCUUUAAACAUGAGUGAGUAAUUUCAUCGAGUCUGAAAUGUGAGAUCCAUCGUACUGAUAAUAUUAAUAUAAAUUGCAUGUACGUAUUAAUAACAAGAGUAAUUUUCUGGGUUUGAAAAAUUCUGAUUUUAAAACCGCAAUUUGCUACGAAGGUAGAAAUACUACGAUAUUGGUUUCGACACGAGAGAGCAAAAACGGUAUCUGACUGUAGAAAAUUCAGAAAUUAACUUAUAAACAUAGUUAAAGCAUUUUAAAAGUUAAUUAAGAAACUAUAAUUUUCAAAAAGUGAUUUUAGACUUAUAAAUUAUACCAUGCGAAAGAGGGCGCUUGCAAGUCUAAAAUCCGAUAACGGACGCGCAAAAGGGUAUUCAACAUCUUUUAUACUAAAAUUGACAAAGUUGUGCACUUUCAUCCGCAUCUAGUUUUUGGCGUCGUUACCGGAGACCAAUAUCGUCAAUAUCGUACUCUAUUGUUACACUGUCUAGACUAAGCCAUUUUUAUGCUUUUAUUUUACUUUUUAUCUUGUCAAUUAUAUGCAAAAUCCUCCGUGGAAUUAGUCUAACUGAUAAACGAAAUCGAGCGUUGGUUACAUAUCAGAUGUCAAUUAGAAAAAAUUUAUGCUCAAAUGGCUGAGAAUAACAAUGACUGGCCUCUUGAGGACUUUGUCGUCCCAUAUCAGGACGAACCACACUUAAGUAUUGUUCAUCAUGUAAUCCAGGAUAACAACUUUGAGUUGAAAACCUAUUUGUUGCGGAUCGUGAAACAUAAUAAAUUCUUCAGUAGCCCGACAAAGGACUCAAACUUGCAUUUAUCUGUGUUUGUACAAUUUGCUGACACACUGAAAAGUAAUGACGUCGACUCUGAAGCCAUUCGAUUACAUAUAUUUCCUUUCUCCUUUAGGGAGAGAGAGCCCAAUCUUGGUUACAGUCUCUACUGUCAAAAUUUCAUUAUGACAUGGAAUGAGCUAAAGAAAGCGUUCCUUGUUAGGUACUUCUUGCCUAGCAAAACUGCUCAGUUAAGGAACCAAAUUAUCUGCUUUAGGAAGAUGGAUGGUGAGUCGCUUUUUGAUGCAUGGGAGCGAUAUAAGGAGAUAAUGAGAGCCUGCCCAUACCACGAGCUAAAUUUUUUAUUGAUUAUUCAUACAUUCUAUAAUGGUUUUCUCUAUAAUACGAGAAUGACCAUCGAAGCCUCCGCGGGCGGAACUCUGAUGAAUAAACCCUUCGUUGAUGCCUACAUUAUAAUCGAGAGUAUGGCUUAAAACCACUUCCAAUGGGGAAGCAUGAAGGUGAUAAAAACACAAGAAAGGGGGUUAAUUUGUGUUGGCUUUUUCUUCUUCUACUUCUGAUGAAUCUCAAUAAGAUUCUGAACACUUGGUUCAGAGUCUGACUCAUAAAACUUAGUUUACUUCUGAAAGUCCUGAUCAUAUUCUGAACUAGAACCUGACUUAGAGUAUCAGAGUUAACAACAACGAAAUAUUAAGAUCAGAAGUCCGGAACGUAAAAUCAAAGACACAACAAUUAUCUUGGUUUCUCUCACAACUUGAGAGUAAUCCAUUCCCCUUGCACUUCCAAGGGAUUUUCACUAUAACCAAACUAAUUACAAAUGCUCAAGCACCAAACAAGAGACUUCUAAUGCUCAAACCUUCAAGUAAGACUUCUAUGCUCAAGCAUACAAGCAAGAGACUUUAAUGCUCAAACCCUAAAGUAAGAGACUUCUAUGCUCAAACACACAAGCAAGAGACUUCAAAUUCUCAAGCACUAAAGCAAGACACUUUUGGCUCUAUAACAAACUGUUAAAUGAUUUGAGUAACAACUACACUUGAUAUACAAUUAGAGGUGUAAACAUAAUAUAACUCAAAAGACUCUAAGACUUAAGAAAUUCUAAAAAGGUACAAAGUUUUAAGAGGUUCUAAGUCUAGCAAAUUUGACAGAGUAACUUCUCUUUGAAAUAUCAAGGUUCAGAGUCUUGUAAUGCAGUGUAUUUUUCUUCUUCUCCAGGUCUUCCGCUCCUUAUAUAGAGAGGAAGAAAAGAGACAUUAAAGACUUUCACCAAAAGGUUGGAUAUGCUUUACACUUUAUUGGACACAUCAAGAAAGCACCUUUCUGCAAGAGGAAUUACCUGUUAAAGCUCAUACAACAAAGAAAAUAUUUUUCCUUAACUCUUCACGUGAUCAAAAGGUCUUUGAGUCUGUCCAAGUUUCCUCAAUUGAAGAGAAUAUGCUUUAGAGGUUGACUUUCUUCAGACUUCACUCUUUAGAGGUUGAUCUCUUUAGAGUCCAAUCCUUCGCUUUUGAAGCUUCAAAGUCUGGAUCACCAGAUACUGAUUUUCUUCAGAGUCUGGACCUUCCAUCAGAGCUAGAGUCUUCCAGCUUCUCUUCAUCUGCUCUCACUCUUAUAAUCAUGCAUACUUGAAGAGAUGUUAGAAUACCCAAUUGUUCUUUAAAUACUUUGUUAUCAUCAAAACCCAAGGGAUAUGGUAUCAACCAAUUUUUUUUCUAACAAUCUCCCCCUUUUGGUUGAUGACAAACAAAAGUAUUUAAGAACAAUGAUUGUUAAUUUAGUUAACAUGUUGGCUUCAGGGUCUGAGGUUUGUAAGCUCUCCUUGAGUUUGAUAGUCCAGGGGGUAAGGUUUGUAAGCUCCCCCUAAGUUCUAUCCAGGUUAAUUAAAUCCUUUUAAAGGGCACAAUAUCAUUAAUCUUUAAAAUAUAAGUAGCAGUAAGAAUAAUCAUUAGAUUCAGGUGCUUAAAUACUCUUUAUCUCUCCCUCUUUUAUCAUCAACAAAAGAAAUAUGAAAAAGGACAUGGAAGAUACUGUCACGUCGCAAAAAAUACUUGAGCGUAUCACACGCUCAUAGAUACAACAAAGUCACCACCUAACUUUAUUUUUUUUUAAAAUGAAAGGGAAAAUAUCGAUAAAACUCAGGGGUAGAGAAACAAGAUAAGGAAUUCAGUUAUGCAAGGGGAAGGUAUUAGCAUCCCUCACAUCCACUGUACUCAACGAGGACCAAUUUGAUUGUUCUUUGCGCGAAUGAGUCUUACUAUUGUCAUACCCCAAAAUUUACCCUUCCCUUUUUCCUUUUGAAUAAUUCAUUUGCAUACAUCAAAUCAUAUGAUGCAUGACCAUUGUAUUUGGUCAUGGGAUCACAAGCAUGGCCACUUUGUAGUUUAUAUCUUAACAUAAUUUCAACAAGAGAUGGUACUUGGUUGUUCUUGUUACUCAUGUAGGUGAUCAUGCUCCAAAUCAAGGUAAGACAAAGGUAUUUUGGUCAAAGGAAAUGUAAGUUUGCUUCAUGUGAUUCCAAGUUGGUUCAUGUAUUUGUUUCCAUGCCACAUCACUCAAUCUCCAAGAUAUAUUCAAAAAAACUCAAGCCCUAAUCAAUUUUUCAUCAAGGGAUGCUUAUUCUUUCAUCAUUGUGGCUUACAAUGCAAGAAAACAUCAAGUUUUCAAAAAUGGGUACAAGUUGGUUUGACCUAAUUUGCAAGUAUGUCAUGCCUUUGAUCCAAACUCCAUAACUUUUUCAACUUUUAUCCAAAUGCCAAUUUUCUUUGAGAAAAAUGUGAAUUUUGAGAUCCUCUACAACUUUGAUUCAAGUGUCAAAAAUCAAUUCAUUUAUUAAAGACCUCAUUUGUGCAAAGGACCAAGUUGCCAAAAUGGGCCAAAACCUUGCCAUGACCACUACUUUCCACCCUUGCCAUUUUCAGCUUAAACAUUCUUUUGAUCCCAUUCCUUUUGCAUAUUGUUAAGAUUAUUACAAAGAUAAUUUGGCCCAAAUUUGACUCAAAAUUAACAAGGGAAUAAAAAGUUAUGGCGUCAUCAACUUGGGACCUCAAAAUGACCCUACAUGCCUCAAACUGUUUGACCAAUGACCCAGCCUAAAACUCAGGUCACGACCUCAACUUCCCAAGCAUUUAACUUUCACCUAAAAGAUAAUUUGGACUUGGUUCUUUUUGCAUCAUGUUCUACUCCAUGAAGAGAUCAUUUGGAUCAAAUAAAAUUGGAAAACGCACGAGUGCAUUGGAAUUGGCCUAAGCAUGAACAUGACAAUAUGAACCCUGUUUUGACACAAACCAAAAAGUUAAAAUUACAAGUUAUUCUUUGUUUUGGGACCAUUUUCACAAGUGCAAACAUUUCGUGAUGUCAAAACAUGUGCAAACAAGCUAGAAAAGACUUCAUUUCACCAGCAAAUCACACUUUUCAUGUUGCAUUUCACACGGAUUGCAAAACUUGAAACCUCAACCCUAAUUCACACGAGUUUGCCUCUAAUUCACACAUAUUUGAAUCCCAACACAUUCUCUAUAAAUAGUGGAUUGAUUUGACUUUAUUUCCAAGCUUCAAGAGCCAAGAAGUAUCUGCAUCACUGAAACCCAAAAGCACCAAAAAACCAGUCACUCCUUUCUUUGAUUCAAGUCGUUUUGCUUCUAAAUUUUUGCCCAAAAUCCUUCAUCAACAUCAUCUGAAGCUGUAUGAAGCAUUUCCUUGGUCUGAAACUACUUGCAACCUUGAUUCCUGUUUCACAAUUGUUGACUUCGAGCUUCGAUUUGGACAAGGUAGUUACGCGUAAAAUUAUACUUCAAGCAAGUUACCAUUCUCUUCGUGUGGUUCCACUAAUUGAAAGUCCUAAUCUACUUUUGAUUUGGUCAUUCAAUUUAACUUUUAAGAACUAGGGUUCUUCACAAGUUUGAGCAAAUUCUCUCUGCUAAGAGAAAACCAAUUGCUCUAAUGCAAAGGGAUAUGAAUGAUGAGUGAAGUAGAAGCUUGCACGAUGCAUGUUUUAGCUUAAAACUUCGAGUUCAUGAAUAUGCAAAAAUUAAAUUUAGGAGGUUGAAGAUGAAGUC